This 52331-nucleotide long non-coding RNA is filed under the name Fragaria vesca (wild strawberry). Its description in RNAcentral is "long non-coding RNA (FVES_LNC001157)". Lineage: Eukaryota; Viridiplantae; Streptophyta; Magnoliopsida; Rosales; Rosaceae. The record is from RNAcentral.
UUAUGUGUGGUUUUUGCUUCAUAUACUUAAGGUCUUCAGUGCAAGCAUGAAACUUGGAACUUUGGAACUUGGAUUUCCUGUUAGUAUUUGGGUUCGAGUCUACCGACUUGGAAAGGAGGAUGGGAGAAGAGACUGGAUUUCUGAUCUUUUCAGUGACAGAUAGUUUUGAACUUCUUAAUUUUGUGGUGUGUUUUCCUUGUAGUGAUGGAAAAAUAAGGGUUGAUGUUCAAUGUUCAUAGAAGCUGUUGGGUUGUAUGAAAGGAAUACUGAGUAUGAUACUUGGAAUCAAAUGAAAUAGUCUUGGAGUUCAUUCCCUUAUGCUGGUUGUGAGUAUUGCUUGUGAUUUUAUGUCUAGUUUUUUUGGUCCCAACUUGGCUUGUGCUUUGAAAUUUAUCUGAAACCAACACGUUUGGGGUUCAAUCAACAUCAACAGAAGAAGAAUUGAAAUUUAUCUCGACCCGAUGGGCCGCCUCGAGGUGUGUUUAACGGCCUUGGAGGGUCUGAUUCAAGAGGAGCUCUUUCUGUGGUUACACUGAUAGCAGUAUUCUCAGUUUUUCCUGAUAGCAGGAUUCUCAGUCAGUCAUCUUCUGUAAAAAAAAAAUUCUUUAAAUGAAAUGUCACUAUUACCCUGACGAUUCAAUUUAUUUACGGAUGUCCGAUUUGGUUUGUGAAGUGACUUUGUGUCUGGGUUUCACAAGAGGAACAAGAAGAAGAGAAGAAAGGAGGCUGAGAAGAAGCAAGGGGAGGCUUAUUGUUGGCAUACACUGAGUUUUCACAUACCUUUAUCACCAGUAAUUUAGAUUGCUUUCCAGUUAAACCAUCCAAAACAGUUUCUCAUUUCUUUUUUAGUAAUAUAUUCAUCUAAUUGAGUGCUGCAUAAUACUGUCGCCAGGAUCGUUAUAUGCCACUAACACUAUAAGCAACUUAAAUCUGAUAUCUGUUACUUUGAUUGAUUCAAAAUGAAUGUGUGUCUUGUGUGUAUGAAGUAUGAACCUUCAUUAUUUCUAUGUGCUCUGUCUAGCGCUCUAGCAAAUGAUGCUGCUUCCAUCCCAAAAACCUUGUCCUGGAAGAUGUUCACAUUCAUCUGCAGCUCCUGGAUACUUAAUACGCAGUUUAACAUAUGUGCUAAUCAAGGGCUUUGAGUACUUGCAUCAGUAAUAGCCGGUACUGAUGAUCCUUGUAUGAGGAACCUGUCAUCGAGCUUCUGCCUUCUCCUCAACAUGCAGGUUUGAGCAAUAUUUCAUCCUUGUUUUAAUAACAACUCUUUAUUGUUCAAUUGUACUUCGAUAUGGCGGAAGUCAAAGUAAUCAAGUUUUAUAUGUCUCAAACUGUUAACCAAGUUAUAACAUCUGAAUUAAACAGUCUGCCAUUUCCUUAUCAAUAUAUAAAUUCAAGAUUGCUACAUAAAAGUGUCUUUCAAGUUUCAAGGGUUGGCAUAUGCCAAAUUGCCAACCAAACACAAAUACCAAGUACUAAAGGCUCGACUAUUAACUUCAAAAGAAAAUGAAUAUAGAGUACUACUGUAUGGUACUUCAUUACUUCCAUUAGCUCUAGCAGUCUAGCUAUAUGCCAUUAAUGAUGUCCAGCAUCAGUUCCCUGGUUUGCUGCACUGGAAGCGUAUCGCAAUGGAAUCCCUGAAAGUAAUAAGAUCGAUGUUAACUUCACAUUAUCCAUCAAGUACAGUCGAUGUGUUCUAUUAAGCUAUAUUCAUCUAUGUCUAUUAUGAACUGUGCAAUUGUGCAAAGCAACCUUUCAGCCUGCAUUUAGAUGAAUAAUAAUCACAACUGAAGAGUACUUAGUUUGGGAGGUUUUUCCAGUACUUACAGUGACCCAGGAAGAAACAAGCAUUGCUCCAUUUGAGGUAGUGACACUGGUAUCAUUGAGUUCAAACCCAAACUCAGUCAUGGCCUCUAUCAGUUUGGUAAAUCCACCUCUUUUCUUCGCGAAAACCGCCUUUAUCCAAAGUUUGUCCCCAUCAAUCUGAGUCACACUAACGUCUGCCUGCAAAUCAAAUCACCAAUAACAUUAACUAGGUGGAAGAGUUUCCAUGUUCCAAUGAGAUGAUAUAUGCAGAACACUGUUACAGUUUUACCUGAAUCCCAGAUUUCUUCAUCUCUUCUGCUGCAUCAGUUUCUUUUUUCCUCGGCUUUGGCUCCGGCACCUCUAGUGAAGACAAUGCUUCCAUCUCAAAGAGCUGUUCCUGAAGCAUGUUCACCUCCUUCUGCAGCUCAUAGAUAUAAGUAAUCGCGUCAUCAACGAUCGUCGCUUUAUUCAUCUGAAACAAGCAAGAAAUGAAACGUUAGAAUCUUUUUUUUCUUUUUCAAGUGCUAGUAUUGAAGUUUUGAGUACUUGCAUUUGUGAUAAUGGGGACUAAUGAGCGUAGCUUGAGGAGUCUGUCACUGAGCUUCGCCCUUCUCUUCCUUUCGGCAUUCAGAUUCUUGGAUUUGUAAAUGGGAGGUCCAUCUACUACAUCGUUGUAUCUCCUUCGACCCAUCCUUCCUCCUCGGCUGUUGUCUUCUAGUUGAUCAGGACUUAGGUAUAGUUCAUCCAAGGGAGAGCCUACAAAUUCCAUAUCUUUCAGAUAAUGGUCAACAAGUAUUUUCAAAAGUGGGAUUUGGGGCCCUAAUUCAUAUAUGUCGUGCUCACAAGGCUAUCAUGCCAUUUUGUGUGUGAAGAGGGAUGCUGCGAUUGUGAAAACUCGCAGGCACUUCAAUUCAUAUUUUAUAGACUAACUAACUAGAAAGAGAAAGAGAAAAACUGAUACAAUUCAUUUUCGUUGUGUGUGGUUUGAUUAAGCGAAAUUACAAAAAAUAAGCAGUUUUUAGAGUGAAAGAUUCUCAAUUAGGAAAGUAUCAGGCAUUGUGCAGGUUUUACAUGUCAUGGUCUUUGGUCUUUGUUGACUGAAAAAAAUAUGUCAUGGUCUUCCUGUUAUUUGAUUCCAAGUUUGAACAUCUGACAGAAACAUGUACAUAUCCCUCUAGUGUUCAUAUAGUUCAUAACUUCAUAUAGAUCAUAAAAAUACUGCCCUACAUAUUUGGAUGUUAUGCAUCUGGGUUUGUGAGUGUGUGUGUGUGGAUUUAUAAUAUCAAACAAAAUUGAUUUACAUGAUAAGCGAAGGUCAGAAUCGGAUGGUUCGCAAUUGAUUUACAUGUUAUACACAUCUGCAUCACAUCUAAAUCCCAUAUAUUAUGGUGUUUUUCAUGUAUUAAUUAUGAUAAUUCUCUUACAUUAAAACAACCGAGCAAACGAUACUAGUGUCCCAAGUGCUUCUCUGUAUCAUAUUUUAGUCUCGCAUCGUACUUCAUUAUCGACUUAUUUUUAUUUUUUGAAGAAAAAAAAUAGUUAGUUACAUUCAUUGAUCAAAGAUCAGGACGAACAAAAGGUUAAACAUAUUUCAUUAUCGAUUUGGCUUAUCGUAUAUAUGAAUUACUAAAGAUCUUAAAGCCCAAACACAAUAGUGUCUUUCGGCCCAAACCCAGUCCAAAAUAUUUACCGCAAAACUUCUACUCCCAGGUCGCCCUGCUCAGUGUCUCGCUCGCACACUCGCACAAUCUCACCUUAAACCCAAAACCCCACAGCGCCCACUCCUCCCAAAACGAUGUCGUUUUGCCGCCUCAUCCGCCGCGCAUUUUCCACCGCCACCCAGCCCAAACCCAAGAGCAUCAGAGCCAUCUCCGAAGACCUCUACAGAGAACGCAACCUCAAACGCCUCGUCCACAAGUUCAAAGAGUCCUCAGAGAUCUACCGCUUCCGAACCAAAAGCCCCAUUUACGAAGAAACUGUCCGCCGCCUCGCCACCGCCAAGCGCUUCAAUGCCAUCGAAGAAAUGCUGGAGCACCAGAAGAAGUACCCGGAUUUCGCCGACGAGGGUUUCGCCGUUAGAAUCCUUUCCCUUUAUGGAAAGGCCGGGAUGUUCGAUAAUGCCCAGAAGGUGUUCGACGAAAUGCCUGACAGAAACUGCGUGCGCACCGUGCUGUCCUUCAACGCGCUUAUGGGCGCGUGCGUGAACUCCAAGAGGUUUGAUAUGGCUGAGAAGAUAUUUAAGGAGGUGCCGGAGAAGUUGUCUGUUGAGCCGGAUUUGGUGUCUUACAAUAUUUUGAUCAAGGCGUUUUGUAAGAUGGGUUCAUUUGAUUCCGCGGUUUUGGUGCUUGAAAAGAUGGAGAAGAAGGGUAUGAAGCCGGAUGUGAUCACGUUUAACACGAUUUUGGAUUGCUUGUAUGGGAAUCAGCGGUUUUCAGAUGCUAAGAAGAUAUGGGGUGUAAUGGUGGAGAAGAAUGUUGUUCCGGAUAUUAGGAGCUAUAAUGCCAAGUUGAUGGGAUUGGCUUUGGAGAAGAGGAGUAAAGAAGGGGCUGAAUUGGUUAAGGAGUUGAGGAGUAGUGGAGUGGAACCUGAUGUGUUUAGCUUCAAUGCCUUGAUUAAGGGAUUUGUGGGUGAGGGGAACUUGGAGGAAGCUAAGCGGUGGUAUGGUGAACUAGUGAAGAGUGGUUGUGCUCCGGAUAAAUGGACUUUCGAGAUGCUUGUUCCCUUUUCUUGUGAGAAGGGGGAUGUGGAGUAUGGUUUUGAGCUCUGCAAGGAUAUUUUCCAAAGGCGCCGUCUUGCUAGUGCGGCAAUGUUGCAGCCUGUGGUGGAUGGUCUGGUUAAGGCCUCUAUGAUUGAGCAGGCAAAGGAACUUGUCAAACUUGGGAACACUAAUUCCUACAAACGUUUUAACUUGAAGUUGCCUUCAGACGAGUAGGGCCUUUCUUUUCUUUUUGCUGCUCUCUUUUGUAUGUUGAAUUCUAAUUUGGUUUUGAAGCACAAACAUGUAGGGUAAGCGUGGAACUCUUUUGAAGUGAGAGUGUGAUCAAUUUUCAGUUUUCAUUUUUGUUAUUUCAGAUAAGAAUUCUUAGUAACAUACCAAUUUCUAUAAUGGCUAGACAAUGUUUAUUUUUAUUCAGUUUACUAUUUCUCAAAUAUAAAUUUGUAAUGCAGCUUAGGCUUCUUGUUUCUCUUGACCACCUUUGAAGUUCAACUCCACUUCCAGUAGUCUUAUUAGUAAUUACAUUGAUACAGUCUCAUACAACAUCAGUUUCACAUACUCUUUAAGAGAUGGAAGGCAUUGGUUGCCAUCGUAGCUAUACAUCAGGGGGAUCAUUCUUGCGAGAUUAAGAGAAGCCAAUGUGAAUGUUGCUGGAAAUGGAUUUGGAGAGAGCAGGUCUCUGUUCAGUUUCUUCCAUUCAUCUGAAAUCAUAUUAAUCGUCUUUUCUCGUGCCUCCUCAAUGGAACAGCCUUCAUGUUCCUCUAAGUAGCACCUUACAUACGACCCAUCGUUCCCAUCCUGGUUCUCAUCCUUUGCACUGCCUAAAUCAUCCCAGAGUCGAAGAAUUGCUGCUGAGGACGAUAUAAUGGCUGGAGUUUCAUUCAACAACUCCACGCUCUUUCUGGUUAUGUUCUGACCCAAGAGAAAAAACAUGUGGACUAGAACCACAUUUACCCCAGAAGAAACGAUGCCAUUCUUCAAGUACUCUUCUGACUUCGGCAGCUUCCCAGAUGCGAACCAUUUUGCUUCCACCAAAAAUGCGUUGCAAAGACUCGCCCACUGCAACAGAAGUUACAGAAUGAAUGGUCUCAAUGUAAACCUUGUAGUGCAAGCUCACGAUUUUAACGAUAAUCAUGUUAAAUGUGGUAGAUUAGUCACAGUUUGUAUAUAUAGUUAUGUACCGAAAUUUUCAAAGAUUGUAAGGGGUUCCAUCCAUGCUUCUGAUAGACCUUGCAGCUGAAUUCAUUAGUCAUAUCAUACAGAGCCUUGAAGCAUAUCUUCAUAUAGUCUGGUAGGUGGUCUAUAGCAGUAAUUUCCCAUCUGUAUGUAUGCAAUAGUUUGUUGAUCAAUCAUAAAUUAGUAACAAGUCUGAUUAUAUUCCAUCACUGACGCAUAUAAUUCAUAUAUACCUAUUUACAGCUUCUGUGAAGAGAUAGAGGUCAUCAAGGGUUCCAUAAACAUCGAAAAUGUCAUCUAUCAAAUAGACAAAAGAGAUGGGUUUUGUGAGCUCAACCCUCUCCUCUGAUAACUUUGGAUCUGUUAGGACUGCCAUGGACCAUAUGUACCAUUUCAGUGGUUGAUCUCUAGCAAAUUUCAGUUCCUUAGCCAAUCCAAGGUCCUUCCACCAUCUAAAAUGUCAAAAAUACACACAUAAUUACACUUUGUAUCUCCUGUGUGAAUUUAGGUAUCAAUGUCCUGAUGAGUCAUUGUCAAACUUACUUGGAAAUUUGAACUAUUUCAUUCUGGUGCCGAGACCGAACCAUAUUGAAAUCUAUUUUUGCUACUUCUUUUAGCAAAGUUAACCAUGAAUUGGGCCUGGUGGCUUGAGAAGUAACGAAAAAGUUCCUGGCCAUGAAUGAGGCCAAGCUUCUGUGAUGAGGAUUCCUCAAUGUAUUUCCAACAAUUCUGGCUUGAUGAUGAUCAAGAUGUGACAGAGAAGUCUUUAGCAGAUGGCCACUAAACUUUUCAGCUUCAACAAGUGUAUCUUCUCCUUCUGUACCUAGCUGCGAAGCUUCGUAUAAGCUCAUCAAUCCCUUGAUGUCUUCACCCAGAACUUGCUUGAACGUUCCUUUGCUUUCCUUGAAGUUGUUAAACACAUCUGUAACAAACACGUAGAAAUAUGUAUUACUACACAAGUUUUACAACUGUUUAUGAAUGAAAUAGUUUCAUAUCGCUUAGUGAACGAAAAAUAGUAUGUAUGAUUAAACUUACCUUCAGGCACGGAGUAACCAUGUUGUCUCAGUAGUCGAAAGCGAAGUGCAACCUCAUGAAGAUCAUCAGAGGCAGAUACAAUACUCAUCUGCUUGUGCAGAAUUGCGUCGAUUUCUCGUUGAAAGUGGUAAUCGAUGCCUAGCCUUUGAACAGCAUCGAUCAUAUUCAAACCUUCAAGGGCAUCUACCUCUGCUGCAUUCCUCAAGACAUUCCUGAGUAGUUCCAGCUUCCGAGAAUGUUGGACAAAAAUGUCAUCCUGCAAGUAAGGCACAGUCAAUUAACUAUUGUUUAGUAGCUAGCUAGCCUCAUUGAAGAAAUGUACGUAGGAGAAAGCCCCAAGAAUUUUACCAUAGUUCUAGUAUGCUUGGUUUCAACGUUCAUCAGCUUUAUAGUACUAGAACUGGAAAGCAAGCUAUCUUCGGCAACGCCCCAUCUUUGAAAAGUAGCAGGCAGCUGCUUCUUAGAGUGGCCAACAUGUGAGAUAAUUUUUGGAGCAAUUUGAUUGAAUACUUUAAAGGACCGAGAAGACUAUGCCAUCUGAUCUAUGAUCAGCACCAAAGAAGCUGUGGGAGAUGAUAUUUCUUUCGCUCUUCUUGAUCUUUGUUUGCGAAUUAAGAACUUAAGUUGUAUGUUCUGGAAAAAUGUUGGCAUUAUAUAUAGGAGAAUGACCGGUUGAGCGCGUCCAUACUCGUCUCUACCAGAUCAUUUGAAUGAACGUUUUUCUUUUCUAUGGUACUGUAUUGUCAUGCAUGCCCGGAAUAAUUAAAUUUUACUAUCACUCAUUCAUUAUGCAAUAAUCAAAUCAAAUGAUCUAAUUAUGAAAUUGUAUUCAAGAAAUUAACUGUUGCUUAACACUUUUCCAUAAUUGAAGUUCCUUAAAACUUGUCCAUGAGUGAUUCAGAAAAUCAACGAUUUUGAUAUAUAGUGAAGUUUAAGAUGACACUUUUGUUAAGAUGACACAAAUGAAGAGGUAUAAUCAGUUAGACCAUAGGUAAUGCAAUGUGCUAGAUGGAACUUUCAAAGUGAGUUUUGAUUUUCAUGAUUGUAGUACAAUGUGUUUACAGAGUACUCCACAUGCAAUUCUCAGUUUCAGUGACCCCAAUAAUCUCAUCAUGCAAGAUAUUGUUUCAACGACUUGACCUAAGAGAAAAGGCUUUUGUUUGAAAUUAAACUUGAGAAAAUAAAAGAAAAAGAACAUGAGAAUCACAUGUUUGUUUGCUGUCAAUUUCAAAGGUACUACGUUUGGAUGGAAUCACGAAUUUGAUUCUUUCAUUCUUGGAUUGCAUACUCGGUCAUCCACUGAUCCAAAUUGGAAUGAAAUGCAGUCCAUUCAUUCAGAUUUGAAAUCUGAAAUCUGAAUGCAUGGACUGCAUUUCAUUCCAAUUUGGAUCAGUGGAGAACCAGGUAUACAUACAAGGAGUAUGAAGUAUCUGAUAUGUGAACAAACACGAAAAGAAUGAGGAAGCUAAGGUUUGCCACAUGAUUAUAACUUUGCUGAGAUGCAUCUACUCUAGAAUUGACCCGACUGUUCAGAUAGUAGGGCAUAAGUGAUAAGUCAGCGAGUAAGCCACAAAAACCAUAUAUGUUACGUCACAUCUGUGUUAAAAUAGCCAUAUAUAAAUAUUAGAAGAAAAAUAUCAUAGGAGCUACACGUCCUUAUCGAUCACCAGGGAUAUUUAUGCAGAAGGUAGCACGUAGGUUCAGAGAAAAUCUGGCGGCGAUCAUUUUCGGUAAAUGGGCGCUACCAGAAAAAAUGAUCAUGCACAAAUAAAGAAACAUAUAUGGUAUGUGCUUAAUCAAUCAAGCAUAUCGACAUUAUUGAGAUGCAAGUGCAUGGCUACUAUACGUUUGAGCCCAGGAAAAAAGACAGGGAAGUAGGACGGAGCUGACCCGCCCGAACAUGCAAAACUAUAGUAGGGCUCUAAUGCCAUCAUAUUCAACAAUGUAAAUUGUGAAUGCUUAUAGAGGCCUCACUAUUUAAUAUGUUUCUUUUUUUCAUAAAUAAAAAUAAAUAAAAACUCGAAUGAACUUUCGGUAAUUACUUUUAGAAAAGUAAUGCUAGGUGAACCAACUUUUAGAGAACCAUCUAAAACCCACCUUAGGUGGCAGCUUAUGUGGCAUAGCUAUGAUCAUUUUUUCUAGCUAGAACACUUCGCUCGUCAUUAUUGAUACAGUGGAACAUAAGGUAUGUAUUGACAAAUUCUGUCCUAGUUUUUCACAUUCUUGGGCAAUCUCACAAAGAUCUACACUGGGAUCUAUAUGUUUUGUUCUGUUUUUUCCAUGCAAGAGCUUUUUUGAAGUGUGAAGCACGUUCAUCCUCAAUCAUCGGGUUCAGACUGGAUAGUAGUGAUGUCCCAUGACUCCCAUCCAGAUUCCUUGCUGGUCGCAUACAAUCAUAUAAUGGACAAGAUGUACCAUUUCAGUGGUUGAUNNNNNNNNNNNNNNNNNNNNNNNNNNNNNNNNNNNNNNNNNNNNNNNNNNNNNNNNNNNNNNNNNNNNNNNNNNNNNNNNNNNNNNNNNNNNNNNNNNNNNNNNNNNNNNNNNNNNNNNNNNNNNNNNNNNNNNNNNNNNNNNNNNNNNNNNNNNNNNNNNNNNNNNNNNNNNNNNNNNNNNNNNNNNNNNNNNNNNNNNNNNNNNNNNNNNNNNNNNNNNNNNNNNNNNNNNNNNNNNNNNNNNNNNNNNNNNNNNNNNNNNNNNNNNNNNNNNNNNNNNNNNNNNNNNNNNNNNNNNNNNNNNNNNNNNNNNNNNNNNNNNNNNNNNNNNNNNNNNNNNNNNNNNNNNNNNNNNNNNNNNNNNNNNNNNNNNNNNNNNNNNNNNNNNNNNNNNNNNNNNNNNNNNNNNNNNNNNNNNNNNNNNNNNNNNNNNNNNNNNNNNNNNNNNNNNNNNNNNNNNNNNNNNNNNNNNNNNNNNNNNNNNCUCUUCUUCUCUCUCUCUCUCUCUCUCUCUCUCUCUCUCUUAAUUAAAUUCUUAAGAAAAAUUAGAUUGACAUGCAUGGUCGACUGAGCUGGUUCAAUUUGUUUUCUUAGAGAGCUGUGAUUUCGACGGUGAAGCCCAUAGUGGACGCAAGCAUAGAGGACCUCUGCAACACUCUCUUCCCAGAGUGUCUGAAAAUAGCAGACUUGGGGUGCUCUUCCGGACCCAAUACCCUUCUGGUGGUAUCAGACAUCAUUGAAAAUAGCCGAAACACGUUUCAAAAGCUCAACCUCCCCCCGCCAUCGCUCCAAGCAUUCUUGAAUGAUCUUCCCUGGAAUGAUUUCAACACGGUGUUCAGGUCACUGCCUGGCUUCUAUAAGAAGCUCCAUGAAGAAAAUGGGAACAAGUCGGGUUCUUGUUUCAUUGCAGCAAUGCCUGGUUCCUUUUAUGGCAGGCUCUUUCCUGACAACUCUCUUCACUUUGUUCAUUCUUCUUAUGCUCUCAUGUGGAUCUCUGAGGUCAAUACUCUUGAUUGUGCUUUGCUACUUGUGGUCUUUUUCUUGUACGUUAGUCUUUUUUUUUUUCGUUUUAAGCAAAAUUCUAGUUCAGUCUUAUCUAUUAUGCUAAUAUAUGCGUCAAUGAUUGACUAAUAGAAAAUCAAUAUGAUCUCUAUGAGCAGGUUCCAAAAGGUCUGGUAACCGAAGGAGGAGAGGGACUGAACAAAGGGAACAUAUACAUAUCCAAGACAAGCUCACCUGCUGUGUUUAAUGAAUACUUUGAGCAAUUCAAAAGGGACUUCACAGUCUUUCUGCGAUCUAGGGCACACGAGCUAGUCCCGGGAGGUAGUAUGGUCCUCACAACCAUGGGCAGCAUAAAGAGCAAUGAUCCCCUCUCCAUUUGGGAAUUCGUCGGAUUGAAACUCCAUGACAUGGUUUUAGAUGUAUGCAUGUGUAUAGAUUCGAACCCCUCUUAAUUUGUUUAUUAGGCUAUGAUAUAUACAUGUUACGGUUACUGAUCAUUUAAAAAAUAUAAAUUUCAGGGUUUGAUUGAGGAGAAAAAGUUGGACAGAUUCAAUUUGCCAUACUAUGCACCCACAACAGAUGAGGUAAAAGAGGUGAUCGAGGCUGAAGGGUCUUUUACUUUGCAAAACCUUGAAGCUUUCAAAAAUGACUGGGAUUCUUACAUAAAACAAGCUCAUAGUGACCUUGACAAGAAAGCAAGGGCUGCAAUACUCUCCACUGACAUAAGGGCAGUGGGAGAGCCUAUUCUGGCUAGCCAAUUUGGAGAAGAAGCAGUGGACGAAUUGUUCCGUAAGUUCGAAGAAAAUGUUCUUGAUCAUAUGGAAAGGGAGAAGUGUCAGUUCAUUAACCUAGUUAUAUCAUUGAUCAAGAAGCGUUAAGUAUGAAUAUGUAUGCUGCUGUAUUGUAUUUGGUCUCGUGGCUUCCAUACUUUCUUUCUUUAAUAGGUUUUUCAACGGUGCAAAGUAUAUAUAUGUAGUGCCAAGUAUUUAAUCUAUUUUUCUUAACUACUUGUAUAUGCUUAUUUUCAUUAAUUUCAAAUUUAUGACCAAUUAAUUUUUUUUUAUUUUUUAAAACAUGACAUUGAUCAGUGUAACCAUACAUAAUAAUUUAAUUCUGUGGGCUGACAAAAAAAACUACUUCCUAAAUGAUUCAACGUUUUCUACCAAUGAAACACUUCCAAUGUAGUUCAAUUCACAUCUGUGAGUAUCAAAAACAUAGAUGAAUCAAACCCCACUGGCGUCUUUCUUCGACAACAGAAACAAGAACAAUUUCAAACAUAUGAACACCCCUCAUUAAAGCAAAAUAAGACCUAAAAAUAAAAUAAAAGAUACCAGGUUAUAAAGAUUAAAAACAAACAUUAACACCCUAACAAUGGGUGAAGCCCAAGCCCAAUAAAAGGGCCAGCCCACCCAAUUGCUAAGGGCAUCCAAAUGACCAUUCAACUUCUAGAAGCAGCGAACCGCCGCUUCAGUCUUGCUGCCGGGAAGACCACCACGGUCAAAGCCGCCACUCCAGACCAGCAUACCACCAAGCCACGGAACCUCGCCUCCUACAUCGAGACCACCUGCCUCGCCAUCGCACUCAGAGAUCCUCCACCACCAAUCAACCGAGAUCUUUGGGCACCUAGCCCGUCCUCCAUUGUUCCACCGCUUGCCUCCAAAGGGGUCAACCCCACCUAGAUCGAUCGCUGCAACCCCAGAAACGCUGCCUAGCAUCCCAUAACGCUGUCCAUGAGUCCAGACUAGAGCCAAACCACCACCACGAGGCAAGAACCCCCAAGGUUUAGCCAUCAAGGUCGGACCCGAAUCCAGAGCCAAACUCAGACCUGCCAAGAACAAAAGAAGAAUCCAACAACCAAGAGAAGAAGCCUCCAUAGAGCUUGAAUUUGUGAUUGGAGAAAGUUCAAAUUUGCCGAAUCAGAAGCCAAUUCCAAUGCGAGGGGGAGAGAGGAAGAAAAGAUUGAGAAAAAUUCAGAGGGUUUCAGAUCGGAUAGGCGGUCCUAAAAAACCUAGCGACGACGCUAGGCCGAAGGAGAAGGAGGGAAAAUAUUGUGUUUUGUAAUGUAUCUGUUUUUUUUAUGAUUUAUCACUAAUUAAUGGAUGUGUUGUACUAAUAUGUCAAUCUAUAUAUUUUUUGUAAGUCAAGAGAAGGAUAAAUAACUUAAGAAGCUUGUACCAUGCAUCUUUGGAUGUUGUCUUCAAAUACUUCAACAAGUCAUUAUGUAUAGAAAGAUUUAUUAUCAGAACAUCUUUAGUAAUGUUAGCCUUUUUAUUUGUAGUCAAAUUUUAGCUAAAAUAGUUAAAAAGUUAUGGAGUAAAUACUUGUGACACCCUGUAGUUUACACCUAAAAUCAGUUUUGUCCCUCACUUUUUUUUUAAACUGGUAUAUCAUUAACAGUCUAAAUAACCAUUCACUCUUAUCUCUUCUAGCAUAGUAAUAGGGGGCUUAGACCUUGCUCUCAAAACCCAACCAUUGAAGCUCUCACAAGCAUUGUUAAUGAGCAUGUCACAGUCAUAACCAGCUAGGAAAAGGGCAAAUCAGUCGAGAAUUCAAAGUAUAGGGGUAUACCAGUUUAAAAAAAAAGUGAGGGACAAAACUGAUUUUAGGUGUAAACUACAGGGUGUCACAAGCAUUUACUCUAAAAGUUAUUUUUGCUAUCCACUUAAUUAGAAGUACAUCUACACGAAUACUUUCUAUUUCAACUUAAGUUUGAUUUACAUUAUUGAUUAAAUAAAGAAAAAUUAAUUUAAAUGUGUCUUAAUAUUACAUAAAACGACUUAAAAGAAAUAUUUUGAAUUAACAUAAAUUAUAGAGAACUUUAUCUCGCUAGCUAUAACAUCUCCAACAACUCUUGCAUAAUUUCUCUACUAGCCUUCCAGCACGCACAUACGCGCGUGCGGAAAGACCGCGCUCACGCGUGUGUAUAAUCAUUUUUUAAUUGACAUUUGUAGGCAAAGUAUUUUUUGAUAUGAAGAUCAUUUUAUUGAAUCUUAUCUUCAAUGUUUACGUGAGCACAAAGAAAGCCUAUUUGGUCACACGUCUCUCUUUAAUUUUACUGAUUCACAUGUUUUUCAUCCCAACAUAAUAAAGGGUAUUUGGAUGCAUAUCUUUCUUCCAAACAAAUUACAUAGUAAUCUUCCAGACUAUGAAUAUUUACAAAAUCUUAAACAAAUAUGAGAAGGCAUUGUUGAAACUGAAAUUGCAAGACUUGAAGAGUGAUCAUCCUUUGGCUUCUGUAACACUUCAGUUGCAUUUAGAUCUUGCAUAUUACAUCAACUUAAAUUGAUAAUUAGUGCCACACUGUCCAGGUCUGCUAUUUCAUCCAAUAAACCCUUUUCAGUAUCUUCCAUCACCAGCAAACUUUCAAAGAGAGUACUGAUUAAACCUGUAAAGUCAAUUAAAAAAAUUUCUGAAUUCUUGUCAUUUGGGUGUACAGAUGAAAAUAAGAGGGUCGAUACAGAGUCUGAAAAUAAACCAUUUUCAGUACCUGCCUGUGUUUAUUUUUUCAAAUUUGAAAUUGUCAAAAAAUUUCGAAGCAUAAAAAGAUAGGGAAACCGCAUACAAAACUGAUGGCCUUGACUUGAAGUUCAUGUGGUAUAAAUACGUGCAUGUAAUUUUAAGAUAUGAAUCAAAAAGCUCGACAUAAUCAGCCAGUGCAGUUUCAAACCACAUAAAACUAUCAUAUAUAAGCAUGACAUGAAAGUAAAGGCUAUAAUAAACUACCAAAGCAUGCCUGAAAAAGAUGAACUCAAAAUUCCUUUUUGUUGUUCUUAAUAAAAUAAAGAAUUAAAUUCAGUUUACCCCCAUGUGAUUUGGGGGUGACUUCAUGUUAGUCCCUACACUUUUAUUUACAUCAGUUUACCCCUUCAACUCUUCAAUUUCUGUCUGCCGUGCCCAAAUUCUCAUAUUCUGUUUGAAUUGACCGUUAAUUAUCAGCAGUCAAGGUCCGAUUUGGACAUAUAAGGUCCAAUUUGCCUAAAUUUUAGAUACUGGCCUCACAGUUAAGGUUAAAAUUAUCAGCAGUUAACGUCCGAUUUGGACAGAAUAUAGGACAUUUGGUCACGCUUGAUGAAAAUUCAAAAGUUUGAGGGGUAAACUGAUGAAAUUGAAAGUAGAGGGAUUAACAUGAAGUUACUCCCAAACUUCAUGGGGGUAAACUGAAUUUAAUUCUAAAAUAAAAUACCAAAGAAGAUGGUAAUCUAUACCUUCAAAGUUGUUGAAGACUUACACUAUUGUCUAUGAACACUCAAAUGGUCGAGCUAAGUUGCUGAUGAAACUGAGAAUUAAAGUCUUUCUUGAUAUGCUUUCAGUUCUACUCCAUGAAAUAGUUUUCUACACUAACCAGAAGUAAAUAUGUUCAAAAGAAGAAUCAUAACAUGCACAACCAGGUAUAGUCGUACAGGUAACAUAUUCACAGAAAGAGAUGGGUCUAAAAAGAGUAAUUAUAUAACCAUUGUACAGAAGUAUGUCAUGAACCCCAAACCAGCAACUAUAAUUUCUAGAACCCAAAGAACCCUACCCUCAGAAGCCUUUAGAAACUAUCAAUGCCCUGCAAUCCAAAAGAUAAUUUACAUGGCCACCAAAUUUCUUCAACACCAUUUAACAUCAGAGUUCAACAGAAUAAUAAAAGAGUUUUCAUCAGCAAGCUUUAAGGAAAAAAGAAGAAGUACAAAAAUAACAACAAUCACAAUAGAACAAAAAAGAUCCUAUAUAUCAAAGUGGUAUGAGAUCUUGGCAGUUCCAUUACCUCAAAAAAGUGGCUGACACUAAUAUCCCCAAUCUUCACCUUUCCAUCGAUCACCUUAUUGAUAAUAAUAUUUACCAUCAUUGUUUGAUUUUUCUCUGCUUGUCCAACCAAACUUAUCAAAAGAGACUUGUAAUACAUCCCCAUUAUCUGCUGAAAACAUAAUAUACGGUAUCAAUUGAGACAUGUAGUACACAUGACGAGUAACGCAAAAGAAAGUUAUAGAGAGAAACAUUCAUUCUAGAAAUAAUUAAGAAUUGCAGCCGAAAGUGGGCAACUUUUGGGGACUACCUGUUGAUCAUCACACAUUGGUUAUCUAAGGCUAGUGAUAUAUAUCAAUAUUUCAAUAUUUGCUUGUAUUGAAAAUUAUUUAUCUGAUUGAUAAAGCACUUAUAGACAUGAGCAACAUCAAGACAACAAAACAACAUAAGUAAAGGAAGUCAUUCAUCUCUUAACUAAAAAUUGUUAGUUAAUCACCCACUACCAACGCACCAGUUAUAUAGUAGACAUCAAUUGUUAGUUCCCUCUUACUAACUUCUCAACUACCGAUUGAUAUCAUAAAAAACGGAUUCUCCUUAGCUUACAAAAUUCCCAUUGAUACAGUUCAUAUGGUUCAGAAAUACGAUGGUAUAUGAGGGUCAGUGAACGAAGUGGCGGAUAUGUCCUAUCCUUUGUUCACUCCUGCAUAUAUGGACUUGAAUUUAUCACUUUAAAGGCUGAUAUAUAGAUGAAGACACAAUUUAGCUGGUACCAAAACAAAUCAGGGAAAACAAUCCAUACAGUGGGAAAUAUUCAUUUUCAAUGUAGAUAAGUUAAUAGAGUGGCACUGAAAACAAUAUGGUCCUAAUCUUUGAAUUAGUUUACAGGAAGCCUCUACAUGACCAAGUAUACCGUUUUAGAGCAUCUAAUCCUACACCAAUCAACGAUGUGAAUGAAAUAACCUGUGCAAAAAUCAGACAGCUCCUCUGCAAGUGUAAUACAUCAAAAUCAAAACACAAUACAUGAAUAGAACGAAGAAAUGCAGAAGCAUACCGGUCUUAACGCGUGAAUAAACAUGUCCGCAUCGAUAUGCUUUUGUUCCACCCGUAUGAGUAGCUUUAAUCAAAGGUAAAUUCCGAUCCCAAAGACAAAUCCCCAAUCAAUGGAACGUAAAAAGAACCCAUAAAUUACUUACCAGAAUCGCCACCGAAAUCGCUGAGCGGCGUAAAAAAGAUUGCUCCCACCUUGCCGAUACGAUUUCAAUUUACUCUUCCUUUUGAAUUUGAUUUUGCUCUGCUCGUCUUCAUUUCUUUCUCUUUCAUUUUGUUCCUUUUUCGUUGCUUCGUCUGUUCCAUUUGUACCCGACGUUGAUGUGGCAGUUUCCAUCUAUAUGGAGAUCGUGGGCUAGCAGUUGAGAGACUGCGUUCUUCUUCUUUUCCCUUCUUUUUUCCCCUUCUUUUCCUUUUCCUUUUUAUCGCGGAAUCCUCUAUUCCUCGGAUUUAUUUGUUUUGCGUUUUGUCAGCAAGAUUACUAUAGUGUCCUUCUUUCAUUGUUUACAUAUAACUGAAGAAUAAUAAAACUUGGGUUUUUUUCAGAACUUUAAAAAUUUAACCAUUACCAAAUCUCUUCUGGUUUUAUUAAUAGAGAUUAUAGAAGAAGAAACCACAAAAUCUCUAUUAAAAAAAUGGCUCAACUCCAACAUCUCAUUUAUUUUACUCUACAAAAUUAAAUGUUUUUCUAUAAUUUAAUAAGAUCCAGUUCAAGGGACAUCUUAUUUGACUUAAAUUUUUAUUCCUUAGAUUUAAAAUGAUCUAAUGGUUGAUAUUAAUUGAGAGUAUGAUUUGGCAAGUGACAUGGAAAUACUCUUAUUUACCAAUCAAUAAAAUAUUAUAUUUAGGUAAAUGAAAUUCAUUUUCUGAAGACAAUCAAAGAAAAAAUUUACAUGAUUGAAAAGCAUAAAAACACCCAUAUAUGUUCUUCAACGAGACUGUAGAAAAAGAAAUCUAAGUUCAUAGAAACGUAUGACCUCUCCCCUCAUCAUAUCAAAAUAUCAUGCCACAAAAACCCCAAAUCUGUGGUUACAUUAACCUUAUUCAUCAUGAAUCAUAGUAUGUGAUACCAACUUGCAUAUUCUGAAAGUAAAGAAUUAGGUCUGUUGAAGCCCCAAAUCUCAUUGCAGCAGCAUUAAAUUGAUCAACUGAUUGCCAUUAGUUAAAAGUAUUCAGUCAAGAAGAUUGAUGUGGUUGUUUAAAAGAAAGAUUAGAUGGGUUGUUUAAAUUAUAUAAGAGUGCGGCUAUAAAAAACCCUAAGAGCGCAGCAAUUCACCUCCAUCUCAUCAUCUUGGCCGACGGCGCCUGAGGCGGGCUCCGACCUUGCCUCCGAGGUGACUGCUAGACGGGACUCAAGCUUCUUUUGCUUCCAUCGGUCUUGGGUGAUUGUUGGGUAGCAUUUGCCCAAGAUUGUCAUCGGAUCUGAUUUGGCUGGGAUGGGCAUGAAGGGGGAGUGCGUGUUCUCGAGGCCGGCGAUCUGUUUGUUGAUUUGGAUUCUCGCCAGACAAGGUUGUGGUUGCUCCGGCGGCGCAGAUGAGGGAUGGUAGAAUCUGGAUUGCAAUGGCUGUUCUCCGCGAAGGCUUGUUCUGUGGCGGCGCUACAUGAGGUGCUUGGAGUUGUUUACUGUUGAGGACAGACCAGCUUUGAGUACCAUUGUCACAUCCCGACUCUUAAAUUUUUACCUUAUUUACUAGCUUGAUACUAAUUAGAGUUUUACCGUCUUCGUCGUUGAGUUUAUAGUUUCAAAGGUUCCUAGAUGUGUUUUGAGAGACGAUUAUUUUGGAGAAAUUAUUCGUAUGAGAAAUAUUUGAUGACGGUAAAAAAGAUAAAUUUUAGCUAGUAAAAAUAUAAUUUUUAUUAGGGUAUUAUUUAUGUGGUGUUAUUGUGGAGUUGGGUUUUUAUUUGGUGUGGGUAGGAACCGGUUGGGGAAAAAGCCCAACACAUUUUCUCCCUUCUCUCUCUCUUCCCUCCCGACUCUCUCCCCGAGCUCUCUCCCUGCCGGAUCUUCAACGCGACCGUCCGCCGCCGUUCGGCCGCCACAGACCGCCGCACCGGUCCUAAUCGGUCGGCCCUUGUUCCCUCUUCCUUCCUAGACUGGUGGCAGCCUCCCUAGUGCCGCCGUGAGAAAGAAACCACGCCCGAAAGGUCCAACUGCCCAUAGUUCUCCGUCGCCGGAACUCCCUCCUCCGGUCGCCAUAGCCAGAGUUGCUUGGCUCAAGAGGAAGCCCUCCUCCCGUGCUUCAAUCCCUCGAAAGGUUUUGGUGUGACUCGUGCUAGGUAAGGAGAAAUCAUUGAUUAAAACUCUAGGGCUCAAUUCACUAUUUUAAGUCGAUUACCCUAUCUAUGCUUGGAAUUGGUAUUUGUGCUAGUUAAGAAAGUUGUAGAGUGGGUUGAGAGGAAGUUGCUGUUAAAAUUUGGUAGGCAUUGGAGGUUGCCGGAGUCGGCCGCCGGCCACUGUUAAAGGGAUUUUCAUGGUUUUAAAUGUGUUUUAUUAAGGGGAGACUAAUGAUGUGAAGUUUGGAAUUUUUGGAGGAUUUUUGGAUAGAUUUGAGAUUUUUCUAAGUUUAGUAUUUUGGCGGUUAAUUAAGGUAGAGUCCAGCCGUUGGAUUAAAGUUGUUUAAUCUGUAGGGGGUUAUUGUUAAGGUUACCAGUUUUGAUGUUGAAGUGUGGACCGUAUCGAAUUGAAAAUAUCAAAGUUAGACAAUGAUGAGCGUGGUUACGGCUCACAUUUAAUUUUGCCUAUUUUGUAUAAUUAUUGGAUUUUGGUUGGGAAUUUAAUUAUAUAUUUGGAACAAGACGUGAGGAGGCUCGAGCAAAAGAGGUCUCAGAUCGACAUCAGGCUUAGGCCUAAUUUGUGAGUGGACUUUUGUUUUAAAUAAUGUGCAUGCGAAUGGUUUAUUGAUGAAUAAUUUCUUUUGUUGGAGAAUAACCGAAAUUGAGAAUUUCGGUGAUUAUAUAUUCAUUUAUGGAUGAUUAUGAGGAUAAUAUGUAUAUAAAUAAAUGCUAGCUAGCUAUACGUGUUUUUCCGCCAUAAUGAGGUAAAAUUUCAUUAUGGUAUGACAUGAGCGUUAGACGCAAUCGUCGUAGCCCUAUAUAAAUAUAAGAAUUUAUAUAGGGAAUAUGCAUGUAUAUAUACACUCGUGCUUUUCCACCAUAAUGAGGUAAAAUUCUAUUAUGGUGUGACGUGAGCGUUAGACGCAUGCGUCGUAGCCUUGUAUGAAUUUCUAUUUUUCUUAUUCCUUCAUAGAAUUUGUACAAGGAAUAUGACAAGUGUAAUAUAUAUAUAUAUAUAUAUAUAUAUAUUAUUUUAGCUUGAGAGGCCUUAUUUUAUUAAGUUUGGAGACUAGCCGGAGCUAGUCAUGUAAUUGUCAAUUGAUGAGUUGAGAGCUUUUGAGCUGUCGCAUGCAGCAUAUUUUCUAUGAAAAUUUAAAUUGAGAAAGCAUAAAUAUUUUUAUUAAAUUUAUUUUUGUCCACUCACUCUAACAUUUUCGAAUGUUUUCCCCUGGACCCUUCGUUUUAAAAAUGCUCAGUCUGCAGAGUUCGGGUUGGCACUAGAUGGAGGCGAGGCAUAGUUACCCACUUUUCCACCACUUUUCACCAGUAGGUUACAUGUUUAACCUACCAGUGUAUUUUCUUGCUUCAUGUAGUUUUUUAGUAGCUCUGAUUACCUUUGGGGAUAUUGUAUAAUAUUUCGGUGGUGUGCUAAGACUUAUGUUACAGUUUAGAAUUUUCUAAGGAUGACGUAUGUUAUAUUAGUUAGAUAUUUAUGUGAUAGAUUAGAAGAUGGUUUUAUUAUUAUGUUGUGGGGAGCAUGUGGCUCCAGGAGUUGAGGUUGGAUGAGUCAAUAUAGGAGUCUUAUUUGAAUUUUUCAAGAUAGGGUUGUCCAUCAUUAAGGGAGGUUAUGCCGAAUUUUUCGGUAAAUUUUCUUUAGAUGUGGACCCUGUAGAAUUUACUUCGGGUUUCAAGAUGAAACUCGGGGUGAGUCCUGAUAACCAUUCUGGUGGUGGUGGUGCCAGGGCGUGUUUGCGGUAUGCAUGGUGGCUGGAUGACUCGCACAGCGGCAGAGGCAGUAGUGGUGGACUGGCCCAAAUCUACCUGAUGGGUCUUGAGGUUUUGGGCCUUCUUGAUCUGCCUUUGGGCAUUUAGAUUAGUUUAUAUUAUAUAGUUUUCUAGUUUUUUUCUAUUUCCUACGAGCUUAUCAUGUAGGACACUAUUGCACGUUUGUUGUGCCUUUAUGUUUUAGGGAAUAUGUUCUAUUUCCUGUGGGUUCACCCUUCAGGAUACUAGACCUAGGGUGUUUUAUGAGUACGAUUACUAAAAGGUAGUCUAUCCUAUAUACUAGGUGAGGUAUGCCUCACAACUACUUGUCUAUCUGUAGAUAAUAGCGGUAGAGUAUGUAAUGGCUAUUCCAGGCCUUCGUUUUACCUAAAUUUAUGAAAGUCAUAACUGACUCUUUAAAAAAAAGAGUGCGGCUAUUGAGAUCUCCAAAUUUGCUCACUUGACCACACUUUAUUAUGAGUUAUUGAAUGAUGGAUAACUCAUCUUACAUAAUGACUAUUAAAGAGAAUAAUAAUACUAAAAUAAGUAAUGAAUUUAUUCAUUUUGGACUUUCCAAUUCAAUAAUAUAUAUUGUAUUCUUUAUAAUUUUUUUAUGUAUUUUAAUUUCUUAAUUUUUUUUUUUUGCAUAUAUAUUAUUACCCAUUUACAUAUUUGAUAAGAGCUAAACUAUGAUUAAUAUUGAUCGUGUGACAUAAAUAUAUCAUCAUACAUGUUAGAAAAAAUAUACAAGCUAGGUGAAGUAAUUUAUAUAGAAAAAAAAAUUCUUUUUUAGAAAAAUCAAAUAAUUAUAGAAAUAAUCUAUCAUGAGUUACAUAAAAUAUAGAGAGAGAAAAAAGAAGAACUUACAUAGAGAAAAUGUCACACCCAGGUUCUUAAGUUAUUUUACGGUUAUUGACUUUGGUAUUAGUAGUCGGUUGUGCAUAAAACAACCUCCCAAGCCCGUAACCAAGCAGACAUUCCACCACAACUGAGGCCGCCCCGAAGUAUCCACCAAUAAGUCUGGUGGGCCGGGCCCGACCUUAGCAGCAGUAUUGGGCUGGGAGUGGAUUCAGAAGGCAUAAGGGAGCUGGAUGUAAAACAAUAGCAAAGACAGUUGUCCCACAUCGGUUUUCAGGUGAAGAGAAUCCACUCUGGGCCAUAAAUAUGGCCCAGCCACCAGCUUGUCAGGUACAAUAACUACCCCCUAGUAAUUACAUUCAACUAAGUUGAGACUGACUUAAUCUUCGUAGAAGGAAAGACCGGAAGCCCCCGGUCACCCUUGUUAUUGCAGGUCAGUGGGAGGAUAGCCGACCAUCCACCAGGCACGUCAUCAGCUUCUGUGAACCCAUCCGAGAUUGUACAAAAAUAUUUGGCGUUGUCUAUGGGAAUUAUUACGAAAAGUCACGUUGCUCUGCCUUCGAGAGGCAGUUUAUUCAAGUCCAUGAGAACAAUAGGUCCAUCGGGAGGUGCACAAGCCCAACAAAGAGUUAGCUAGUCAUCAAGUUGGCAUGCUCCUCGGUAGGCCCAAGACUGUCUCCUGGAUUAGCAAGUUGUUCAGCCAAGUCCAAACUGCCAUCGGGCCCAAGUUUAUCUACAGGUCCAGUUAGCUAGACAGCAGGUCUAGGAUUUUCGUGUUCCACCGUUUAUUGAUGGUUUCUCUCCCAGUGACUCCGGCUGCAUCCUAUUUGUCCGAUCUCACCUGUAGCUCCGCUCGGCCCAUCCCGCCCGGGUUGUCAUCUCGCCCACCAGAGGUCUCUGUCGGCAUCCCGGACCUUUGUCCACUCAGUCCGAGGAGCGGCUCUCCGGGUUCCCGAUUGACAGCGUCCGGGUCUUCAUCAAGGAGCGGGUGUGCAGCUGGCUGUACCUCUCCAGGGUCACCUCCACUCGGUGCAGGCCGGGAUUAGCUAUCUCGGGCCAAGCUCAUCCGGUGCCGGCGAGGGGUGAUGCGAUGGGAACCAUCUAGUAGCGCCCGGGAUCCACCGGCAGCGUCGGUCAGUCGCUUGGCCGGGAGGGGCACCGCUCGAGCAACUUGGUCAAAGCUCGUCAGGUUUCAUCUGCAAAUCACCAUGGCAAAUAGGUUCAGCUCCAUCAGUUCACCGGGACACCAGCGCAGGAUAACCUUGCAGGAUCUGAGAAGAGGGAGAGAGAAGAGGGAGUUGGUCUGAUCUUGGUGUUGAUUUGGACACCCAACAUCUACUUUGGGCACCCGCACUGAUAUGGGGAGAGCCUGGUAUAAACAGCAAGAAAGAUGAAUUCAAUAGCAUGGACGUCUGGUUGAAAGUGAAAGAUAAGAGUCCGAGUGGAGAAGCCAUCAGAGGGGGAUUGAGGUUCAAAAGUGGUCUUGUAUCUGCAGAGACCGGGACACGAAUAGAAAAAAAAAAACACUAUGGACACCCAAAGGGACACCCAGAGCUAUUUAAUUCCUUGGUCUUUAGCGGGAUGCACAAGCAGCAGUGCGAACAGCCAAUAAUUACUCAUCGGAUCCCGGAGGCCUUCAACAAAAAGUUGGUGGGGUGAAAGAAAAAAAAGGGAACCUAUAGCAACAAGAUACUACCCUCUCGGACCCUAACUAAGUGUUCACAGUUCACACUUCCGGGUCUACUAGGUGCACCCAUUCAGCAGCUAUUUUCAUAGAUAAGUCCCUAUCUCGUUGGUUUGUGAAAGUUCAAAAUAUUGAUGCCACGAUUUCGUCCUACUUGCAAGUCAACCUGUAUGUAUACGAGUAUGCAUGCUGGUCAGUGGGUUUUGACAUUAGACCUAGAGGCAUAAGUCAUCAAAAUCCUGAGUAAUAUUAAGCGGGAUAGGCAUUAGACCGAGAGGCAUAAGUCAUUAACAUCUCGAGAAAUAUCAAGCGGGACAGGUAUUCGACCGAGAGAUUGGCAUUCGACCGAGAGGCAUUCGACCGAGAAAUUAUGUAAGUUGCUAAUCGAUCAUUUGUUUAUUGUGAAGGUACAACAAUCUUCGCCCGGCCGAGUAAGUUUUGAAGCCGGGUGUUGGGAGGGGCAUUUUUUAUCUUAUCGGCGGACUUAAAGAUUACGAUGUAUAUCAAGAAAAGCAAGACCCGGAACAAGCAAGACUCGGAACACGCAAGACCUGUUCAACACACCUCUUGAGUACGGACUUGGGGGGACUGGGGCCAGGUGCCCGUUGAUAAAUGACUAGUAGACCUGUAAAUGGACCGGAUCCGUAAUAGAAAUUUUGGAUCCGGAUCCGACCCGUUACCCGCCGGAUCAUUGAUAACUCGAUCCAAAUCCGGAUCCGGCGGGUUAACGGAUACCCGACCCGUUAAUCGGAUCCGUUUAUAAAUUAUAAUAAUAAAUAUUUUUAAAUUUAAAUAAUAAUUUCAUAAUUUUAUGAUAAAUUUUCAUAAAACACUAAUAAAAUAUUAUAGCAAAAUAAAGGUUUACAUCAAAAGUUGAAUUACAUGGCCAAAAUAAUCCUUAACGAUAAACUAAUUUAAUCAAAAUACUAGACCUCCAAUGUUUAUGAAGCUAGGAGCACAAAAAGAACAUAAGCAUCAAUAACCUUCAACUUCAUCAAAUCAAACUUUAGACGCUAUUUAGAUAUGAGUCAAAACCUGUAUAAACAAAAGAAAACAGUUAAUUAGUUUGUUUUCAUGGCAACUAUUAUAAUGAUUGAUGAAGCUAACCACCCAAUCAUACAAGACAACUAAAUACAAGACUAUAUAUGUGAUUUCAACGAAGACAAAGGUUGCUGUUAGGUAUAAACAAGAGUAAGACAAUUAGCUAGAAAGUAACACAAUAAUUAAAUAAAUAUACUUACAUAUCUCUGCAGCACUGGACGACAGGACAUGAGUUCAUUUUGGCACCUCUUCUUCUUCAGAUUGUGAGACAGAUCCUUCACACAAAGAAACCUAAAAGAAAAAUUGGAACCUCAUAUAUAUAAUGAAAACAUCAGCAAUAAUGUUAAAUGCAUAUAAAUACCACAGAAACUUACUUUUCCGUUUUCGAGAGGGAAGCCAAUCUUUUGUAGUCACCAAAGCCUCUACAGUUUCUGGAAGCAUAGAAGCAUGAGAUUCAUCAAUCACUCUUCCUCCAACACUAAAUGCUGCCUCAGAAGCUACUGUAGUAGCUGGAACUGCUAAUAUGUCACGAGCCAUUCUUGCUAAAGUAGGACAUUUUGCACCAUUAAUUUUCCACCAGUUCAAAACAUUAAAGGGUUCAGCUCUUGGAAACAAAGGCUCCUCCAGAUAUUGCUCCAACUCUGAUUUUUUCUUAGCAACAAUAUGAGAAGACCCUUCCCUCACAAAUGCAUCAAAUCCACUCAAUUCAUCAUCUCUAGAAGCCACUGUUUUGUCAUUACAAGAACCACUGAAUUCCAAAUUUGAUUCCAUCUCAGAUUGAGAUGAAUCAUCUUCAUACUCAGUGAAAAGAUCAAACAUAGCAGUGCGAACUCUUUCAAUAUACUCAUAAGCUUCCGAACCAUGAAGCUUUUCAAAAUAAUAUUCAAUCAGCUGCAUUUUAAAUCUAGGAUCAAAAACAACACCCACUGCUAGAACCAAGCUGCAUUCAUCCCAAUAUUUGUCAAACUUCUCUUUCAUGGGGACAGCCAUCAAUCGCAAAAACUCAUGCUCACUCUUUUCCCACUUAGACAAAUGCAUUUUAAUCUUACAUAUAUCAGGAAAGAACACAUUUGAGGUAGGAAAACUAGAACCAGAAAAAUGAUUCGUUGCAGCAUAAAAAUGUUCCAAGCAAUCAGAGAUAACUUCGGCUGUUUUCCACUCCUCGUCAGUGGGAUGAUGUUUAUAAUUUCGAUCUGUUUGUGACAAGCGCCAAAACACCUCUUUCAUUUCAAGAGCACUUUUAAUCAUCAAAAAGGUUGAAUUCCACCUGGUAGGGCAAUCCAUUUUAACCUUUUUCUUAUCCUUCAACUUGAGUUGGGUUUUUGCUUGAUUAAAUUUCUGUGUUGCAUAACCGGACCUUUUCAAGUAUUUUACAGAUUCUUUGACCUUAAAAAUGAAGCCUCCAAUCACUUGUAACGCAUCUUGAACAAUCAAAUUAAGAAUAUGAGCAGAACAAUGAACAUGAAAUAAUUUACCUUCCAAUAAGAUCAAAGACUUGUCACAAAGCCAACUCUUUAAGCUUCUCACCAUCGCAUCAUUAACAGAUGCAUUAUCCACCACCAUGGAUAAUAAUUUCUUUUCAAGAUUCCAAUCCAAAAUCAGGUCAGUGAUAUAUCGAAAAAGAGUGUCUGCAUCAUGAGGAUAUUCAAUACAUCUGUAAGCAAGUAUUUUCUUUUUCAAUUCCCAAUCCUCACCAAUAAAAUGAGAUGUCAGACAUAUGUAUCAAAUAUCUUGAUGAUCAGAAGUCCAAAUAUCAGUAGUAAGACUGACCCUACCAGGAUAUCGUUCAAAAAAUUGCACAUUUGUUCUUUCUCUUUUUGUGAACUUUGAGAAUAUCUAACUUGACUGUAUUUCUACACACAAGCUUGAAACUUGGUUGAAGAUGGUUUAAAAAAAUCUCAAAAUAUUCAUGCUCAGCCAUACUAAAUGAAUAGUUAUGCUUAAUGACCAUCUUAGCAAAAUCCAUACGACUUCUCUCUUGUUCAAACUUAAAUUUUUCAAUUGAUGUAUCACCUGAUUCAUUAGUUUCAGCAACUACCAUUAGUUGAUCAAUGCCNNNNNNNNNNNNNNNNNNNNNNNNNNNNNNNNNNNNNNNNNNNNNNNNNNNNNNNNNNNNNNNNNNNNNNNNNNNNNNNNNNNNNNNNNNNNNNNNNNNNAUCGGGGAAUAUGGUCUCGGUCAGAUCCUUAGCGAUGAAGGUCUGUUCUAUGUCCGAGACCCAACGAUGGUACUCAGUACCAUGGGCGUCGAGGACGUCAAAUUCAAUGCCUCUGUCCAUCUGCAUACAAGAGAGAACAAGUCGUAUUAGUUUUCUGUUGGAGACCCUGAAAAAGGUACUCAAAUACGAUGAUUUUGGUUUGUCUCUCUAGGGUUGAUCAAACACAACCCUAAAUGUCCGGAGUCGAUCAAACACGACUCGGAAAAAAACUUGUGUGAAGGUGAUCAAACAAAUGUCCGGAGUCGAUCAAACACGACUCGGAAAAAAACUUGUGUGAAGGUGAUCAAACACACCUUCAAAAUAGCAAUAACCAAAGUUGAUCAAACACAACUUUGGACCCGGGGAGGAUAACCGGGAUUUUUAAACCUGCAAAGACACCGUCCCAAGCAUAGAAUGGAGUAGAAGAAGAGGAGAAAACACUUUAUCUCCCCCGAGGUUAUUGAACUUUGAAGAGUUUUAGGGUUGUAAAGUAAACAUACCGUAAAACUUGGAUGCUUGAUCGGACGAGAAGGAAGCAGUGGAGCGGACGGCCGGGGAGAGGCAAUCCUGGGCAACGGCGGCGGCGGCAGCAGCGGCGGCGGCCGAGGAAGGGCCGAGGGUUUUCGGCUUUUGGUUUUAGGGUUUGGGAAAAACUAUUAGCUCAAGGGUUUGAGCAAAGGGCUGAUAACGUGAUGAAGUGAAAGUAAAUUGAGAAUAGAGAAUCGUGAAAGAUGUGUAUCUCAUUCAUUGAUAGGAGCCCUUUAUAUAGGGAAUUACACAUUACCAGUAUGGUAAGGAUAUGAAUACAUAGAUCUAGUCUAACUACAUAUCCUAUUGGCAUAAGGCAAAGGCACACAUAAAGAAUAUCUAGAAAGAUAUGGAAUAUCCUAGAACAGUUUACUAUUUUUUCUUGAUCGAGUAGAUGUAGGAACAAGAAUUAUAUAUAUAUAACACAUAAACUUUCUCAGGCUAGGUAAGGACCUCCUUAACUUAACUAUGGAUGUAGAUUUUCUUAAUAGACUCAUUAUUCGAUCAUACUUUUGCAUCUUAACCAUACAUUCAGUUUUUACAAAUAUAUGAGCAUAUCAUUUCUGUAAAUUUUUAGAUAAUUUGGUGAUUAUUAAGGUAUCGAAAAUGUAUUAAAUCAAUUAAUGAUCUAAAUCUAUUCAACCUAAGCCGUUCGUGUUGAACUGAAUUAUGUUAAACCUGAACCAUUUAUGUUUACAAAAAAAGAAACACAGUUAUAAGUGCCUUAACGAUUACUAAUUGGCUGAAAAUUUACAUAGAUUAUCUACUUAUAUAUAUAUAUGUCUAAUACUGAACGGUUAAGAUGAGAUAAUAUGAUCAAAAAGUUUGUUUAUUAAAAGUAUCCCAUCAUAAGAAUAAAUAAAAUCUUUACUUGAAAAUGAUCGUGUGUACAUACUAUUAUUAAAAGAAAGUAUAGGGCUUUAUCGUAAUUAAGCUUUUGAAGGGUUUGAUUUGUGUUUGCAGUGGAAGCCCUACGAGAAAUUGGUAAAGAACUAGGAAAAAAUGACUGGAACUUCAGCGUAGACCCGUGCCUGAAUGACACAACCCACACAAGCUGGGCUACUCCAAAGCCUGCUGAUAGGCCUCAAUUCAACAACACUCUCAUCUGCAACUGCUCCUUCCCUGAUGACUCAUGCCAUGUUAUCAACAUGUACGUAGGUGCAAUUUUGAGGCAUAUUGAUAUGUGUGUUUCCCAUUAUUCACAUAUAUGUAAUAUAUCUUGCUGAGUUGUUUUUUUAUGCACAGCAAGUUUAUGAGUAAGUAUUUAGGUAUAUCUGUUUUUUCUUUCUCCUCUUUCCUUUCCAGUUUAGGAGAACCCCUUUGUUUAUGAGUAUGAUAUGCAAAUGCAAGGCAUCAUGACUCCAAUUUCAUGCAUAGUCUGAAUUUUAUCAUCAGUUAGCUCUGACAUUUUUCUAAUGCAGUUUUCUUAAAGGGCAAGAUCUUGCUGGGGUUCUUCCACCGUCUGUUGCAAAGUUACCUUACCUUACACAAAUGUAAGGAAUUAAGGAUUUUGCAAUGUAACACGUUGCUAAUAAACAUUUGAUUUUUUCUCAAAUGCUAAUGUUAUAUAUCACUAAUAACUUUUCUGUUCUCUACAGCGAUUUCUCAAGGAACUUCAUCAGUGGCAAUAUACCGAGUGAAUGGGCUUCUACAAAGUUGGAAUUAAUGUAACUGCACUUCUUAACUUCAUAUACCGAGUAACUGCACUUCUUAAGAGUGGCCUAUAUAUAGUGAUUGAACUAAUUAAGACAUUGAGUAAACUGCAGGUACCUCGGUGUGAACAACUUAUCUGGACCAAUCCCUGCCUUCCUAGGAAACAUUACCACUCUAAGAAACUUGUAUAUGCUCUUCCAUUAUCUAUGUAAAUUACUUUUUUGUGUGUCUCAACGUACUCCAUCUUGAUUUUCAUUCGGUUUGGCCUGCUUUGAUGAAAAGGACAAUAUUAUUUCAGGAGUCUGGAGACAAACAUGUUUUCUGGAAUUGUUCCUCCAGAGAUUGGGAAGUUGGUUAACUUGCAGAUUCUGUAAGCUUCAUCCAUUAUCAUUUUUUGUUUUUACGUUUAUUUAUUGAUUUUAAAAAUAUCGAAUAGCUUGUCAAAGUGAGUGACUGAUAAGUUAGCACUGGUAUAUAUCGAUCUGCAGCGUCAUUAGUGCAAACAAUCUCACAGGAGUCUUACCAGUGGAUCUCACAAACCUGACCAAAUUAAUAGAACUGUAGGUGACACUCACAUAUUGACUUUCAAUUUUCCUUAAGAAAUGAUAAUCUUUCAUUUAAUGAAUUUUCCCUUUAUACAGGAGGAUUAGCAGUAACAACUUCAGAGGAAGAAUUCCCGAUUUUUUCCGAAGUUGGAGUCAACUUAAUGAACUGUAGGUACUUUUUUCUAUUAUAAUAUCAUUCAGAUAUCACAGAAUUGGUGUAAUCUCUAUCCAUGUUGAAUUCUUGACAGAGAGAUCCAAGCUAGUGGUCUACAAGGCCCCAUUCCGUCUAGCAUUUCUGUCUUGAGUAAUUUAACAGAACUGUGAGUUCCACACCCAGCUCUUCGUUGCAGUAACAGUAUAAUUAACACUGAAAACCACAUUCUACAUCAUAUUUAACACUACAGCUUCAUAUCAAAGGGAUUGUUUUAGCCUAACAGUUAUUUAUGAUGCAAUGGAUGCAGAAGGAUCAGCGACUAAACGGAGGGGGUUCAGAUUCAGACUGACUAAUAUGAAAAGCAUGAAAAGAUUGUGAGUCUAAAACAUGUUGUAAUUCCGUCUGUAGUUUUAGACUAUCUAGUCCAUGUUUAUCUGCAACUAUGCUAAUAUUGAGUCAUACUGCAGAAUGCUAAGGAGCUGUAAUUUAUCUGGACCUAUUCCUGAUUUAAAAGCAAUGCCAGUAUUGAAUAUAUUGUAAUUUACUCCUCUUCUUAAUCUUUAUAUUCUACUACUCAUUCAAGUACAUAAGACACAUUCAGUAUGCAUUCUGGAUAUCAAUUUGAUAAACGGUUCAUCUUCUCAGUUAAGCUUCCAAACAGUAAGCUUUCGGUUCUUAUAACAUCCAUUAUCUUACAGAGAUCUCAGCUUCAACAGAUUGGAAGGAAGCUUUCCUGACGUUGAAGCUAUGAAUGUGCAGUACUUGUAAGAAAUGUGGAUUUCAUAUAUGUCAUGACUAUGAUGCAGGGGGGCUCCCCCUCACUUCAUAUGCUAUCUUCAUAUAUACAUUUAUACAUAAGCAUAAAUUUAUCCCAUUUAACCAUCCUUCUGUAGUUAAGUAAUAAUUACUUCAACUGAAUGUGACUGUGAUUUCUUUCGGGAAAGGUACCUGACAAGCAACUUGCUCAAUGGCUCUAUUCCAGAAUAUAUUAAGACCAAAGAUCCCCGCUAGUAUGUCUUCUAUCCGACAUCAAUUUCAUUUUCAGUCUCUGUUUUUUACAUUGUUUAUUUGAGGUGUCUAUCAGACGAUUCUAUUAGCAGUAUUAACAAUAUUGUUAACUCAAUAGGAUAUUAGAGCUUCUUUUCCUUUUCAUAUGAAUUAUUUGUAGCAUUUGAAUCAUCAAUGACUAGGAGUCUAUGAUUCUCUGUCGACAUUAACUAACUAUAUACCCUUUAAGCAUUUAAAUGAACGGUUAUCAAUAUUCUAACAUGUCUUUUACAGUGGAUUUAUACUCGCUUACAUGUUUGUCAUCUUUGUGUGCAGCCAGAUAGAUGUUUCUUACAAUAAUUUUUCCAAGGACUCUGAGCCAUCUGCAUGUAGCGAAUACCUGUAAGAACUGAUAUUCUGUGUAGUUGACAUACCAAGCACAAACUACAGUCAUCAUUCACCUCUAAUUGUUCUUUUUCAAUUGAUUGGACAUGUAUCAGGAACGUCUUCAAAAGCUCUUCUGCAGCAAGCAACUCGUAUGUUUCAUACUAUCAUUGAAGAUCCAUGCAGCCAUUUGUUUUUUCUUUUUUGACUUUAUUGGACUUACUACAUAAGCUGAUUACUGUACUUCAUCAUAUUCUAGAGUAUCUGGAGUGUGCCUGGAGAAAUAUCCAUGUAAAGAAGGUAACGUUAUAUAUCUUAAAAUCCAAAAUUUGAUUGAAUAGACAGGAAUCAAAUGAUGGUUAGGCUGUUAGUUGUUUAAUUUUGUAAAGGAUUUGUACAAGGAACUCAGUUGUGAACUUAAGUAUCCGUAUGACCUAAUAUAUUUAUAUCAUAUCCACUCAAAUAUUUUCUCUAAUCUGACUUUUCAAUUAUCUGCUGUUACUGAACAGUUCAGUACUCAUUACAUAUAAAUUGUGGUGGAGGAGUGACCACUAUUGGAGGAGUCAAUUAUGAAGAUGAUACAGAUCUUGGAGGUGGAGCAAAAUUUGUUCCAGUGAGAUCCAACUGGGGAACCAGUAGCACUGGAGUAUUCUGGGAUACUAAUGUCACCGCUGGAGACUACAUAGCCAAAAAUGUAUCAACACUCGGAAUGAAUAACUCUCAGUUGUACAUGAAUGCACGCCUCAGUCCUCUUUCUCUCACGUAUUAUGCAAACUGCUUAGCACAAGGAAACUAUACUGUGAGCCUUCAGUUUGCGGAGAUAAUAAUCCGAGGAAAUAAAUCUUAUCAAAGUGUUGGAAGACGGAUAUUUGAUGUCUAUAUUCAGGUAGUGAUUUUUACCACUAGUGAGUUUUAGUGCCACACACUUCAUCUUAUGGAUGACAUUUGUUACAGGAGAAACUCGUAUUAAAGGAUUUUGACAUCGUAAAGGAAGCAGAAGGUGUAGAUAAAGAAGUCAUUAAAGAGACAAAGGCAGUUCAGGUUAAGAAUAAAACUCUAGAGAUUCGGUUUCAUUGGUCUGGAAAAGGGACAACAGCUUCCCCAAGGAGAGGAAUAUAUGGUCCCCUUAUAUCAGCCAUUUCUAUAGAAUCUGGUAAUCUUCUGACUUUGUACAAGCUCUUUUAAUCCUGUUUUAAUUUUAGAACUUUAUUAUAGGCUUAAUUUACAUCCAUUUGUUUUGUAUUUGUCCAGAACCGAGUAGGAACCAAAGGACAAGUUUAUGUUUUCCGUCCAAUUAUUGCAUCUGUUUCAAGUUUUGUAGCUAUAUUUGAUGUUUGCGAUAUUCAAACAGAUAGCACCCUUGUUAAGGGAAAUACCAUUCUCAGUUGUUAUUCCCUAUCUAUGGUUGUAUAAUAUAAACUGAAGCUUAUCUAUUUCUUUCUGAUGAUUUGUUUUAUUUUUUUCUUCACUUUCUGUAGAGUUCAAGCAUUCCAAAAGAAAUAUGCAUGUUGUGGUUGGAGUUUCAGUUGGAGCUUCAAUUUUGUGCCUUGUCUUCUUAAUUUUUGGCAUUCUUUGGUGGAGAGGUUGUCUGGUGGAUAGCCAGACAUCAAGGGAAAAAGGUGCUGUAACUCCACUAUGACAAUUUCAAGUAUCACAUGGCCAUUAUACUUCCAAAUUUCCUAUGUGAACUAGGAAACACACAGUCAGAUACUAAGUCAAAAGAAUGAUUUCUCAAGACAUUACUCAUAUCGUAACAUUGUUUGUUGGACAGUUCUGAGAGGAAUGGAUCUGCAGACUGGCUUUUUCACCUUGAGGCAAAUUAAAGCUGCCACUAAUAACUUUGAUCCUUCAAACAAAAUUGGAGAGGGUGGUUUUGGGCCCGUCUACAAGGUAUAAUAUGACUGCAAUGUUAUGUUAUCUUUUUUGUUCUAGUAAUUGUCUUUUCGAGUCUUCAAAUAACUUUCUAUGGACUAGUUUAGUUUUAUCAGGAUUGAAAACUGAUUUACAGUUACUAUACUUAAUGCAGGGUAUACUAUUGGAUGGUACUAUAAUUGCAGUUAAGCAACUAUCCUCAAAAUCGAAGCAGGGAAAUCGUGAAUUUGUGAACGAAAUAGGCAUGAUCUCUUGUUUGCGGCAUCCAAAUCUGGUUAGAUUGUAUGGAUGUUGUAUUGAAGCUAACCAGUUAUUGUUGGUAUAUGAGUACUUGGAAAACAACAGCCUUGCUCGCGCUUUGUACGGUAAGCUUAUCAAGUCUAGGAACAAAUCUUUAAAAUCAUGCAUUCAGAUGUUCUUAAGCGACCCAAUUAUUAAGUAUGUAUGUCAAUUGCAGGUCCAGAGGAUGAUUCCCUAAACUUGGACUGGCCUACAAGGCACAAAAUAUGCCUAGACAUAGCAAAAGGUCUGGCUUACUUGCAUGAGGAAUCGGCAGUGAAGGUUGUACAUAGAGACAUCAAAACUACGAAUGUGCUACUGGACCAAGACCUCAAUGCUAAGAUCUCAGAUUUUGGUUUGGCCAGGCUUGACGAAGAGGAGAAGACUCACAUUAGCACCAAGGUUGCUGGAACUAUGUAAGUUUCAUUUCUAUUUGGGCAAUUUCAUUUUGGGUUUAUAUUUUAUGAGCAAACUCUUUGUAUUAGAGUGACUAAUCAAUCGGUGAAAACAACAUUUAAUUGUUGUGCAGAGGAUACAUGGCACCGGAAUAUGCGCUAUGGGGUUGCUUGACCUACAAGGCAGAUGUCUACAGUUUUGGAGUUGUUGCAUUAGAAACUGUUUCAGGAAAGAACAACAUGAAAUAUCGACCGCAUGAGAACAUUCAAUGUCUUAUGGAUUGGGUAAGAUAAAUAAUCUUCAUUCAAAAAUUCUGUCACUACAUAUAUAUGUAACUAGUUUGUGAUCAUCCACUCAUUUUCUCUGCUUAUCUUUAGGCCCAUGUUUUGCAUAAAAAAGGGAACUUACUGGAGCUGGUGGAUCCGAGGUUGGGAUCCGAUUUCAAUAAGAAAGAGGCGCUUAGAACUAUCAAAGUAGCUCUACUAUGCGCCAAUCCAACAGCUGCACUCAGGCCUAUCAUGUCUGCAGUAGUGAGUAUGCUUGAAGGGCGAACCCCAGUGGAUGAAGUGGCUUUGGAUCCAAGUAUCCAUGGUGAUGAAAUGACAAGGUUAAGAGCCUUUGAAAACCUGUCUGAGCAGAAUGCACAAGGGAUCAGCUCAACAAGUGAAAGUCACAGCCUCGUGCAUUCAUCAAAUGCACCAUGGACUGGUUCUUCUGAUACUACUACGUCUUCAGAUCUCUAUAAAGUUUAUUCAAGUUAAAAUUCAAGAUUAACAAACCACCAUGUCACACUAUCGUGUUUUUGUAUUAGAACAUUUCUUCUCCAACGUAGCACAUCGUGAAGGACUCCGUGUUGUUUCCGCGGACAAAGUUGUAUGUCUCCAUAGUGGACUAGAAUACUGGACCUUUUACAGAUGGAGCCAAGGCCGACCAUGCCUCCAUUCCUGUAACAGUCAACUUCAUGUUCUCUGUUUCUUUCAAAAAGUACUAAUUUUAUGAAUGGUUAAGAUUGCACAGUUUAUAUAUUUACACAUUUGUGCAUAAAAGAAUUUUCAUAGAUUAAUUAGAUAUUUAGAGUAGUCCAAGAGCUUAUGUUCUAAAGUUCAAAUUUGUGCUCAUAGGAUCUGAGUUACAGUUUUUGCUUCCCUUUAUACUCCUACUGUCACAUCCCGACCCUUAAAUUUUUCCUUAUUUACUAGCUUGGUGUUAAUAAGAAUUUUACCGUCUCCGUCAAUGAAUUUAUAGUUUAUUUGGUCCCUAGAGGGGUUUUGAGGGACAUUAGCUUCGGAGGGAUUAUUCGUAAGAGAAAAUAUGACGACGGUAAAAAUGGUAAUUUUAGCUAGUAAAAGGUAAUUUUUAUUGGGGUAUUUUAUUUUGUGGUGUUAUUUUUGUUGUUGGGUUUAAUUGGGGGUAGUGGACCGGUUUGGGGCAAAAAGCCCAAACCAUUUCUCUCUCUCCCUCUCGAGCCCUCUCCCCGCCGGACUUCCGGCCGCCUGUCCGGCCACCUGAGACCGUCGCUCCGGUCCCGAUCGGUUAGCCUCCGACCCAGCUCCCAUCCUAGACCGGUGGCAACCCCCCUAGCGCCACCGUGAGAGAGAAACGACGCCCGGAACCUCCGGUUGUCCGAAACUUCCCGUCGCGGGAUCUCGCUCCUCCGGCCACCAUAGCCGGAGCCACUUGGCUCGUUUGGAAGCCCUCCUCCCGUGUAGCAAUCCCUCCAAAGGUCUCACCCUCUCUUGAGUUAGGUAAGGAGAAUCGGUGAGUUGAAGUUCUAGGGCUCAAAUCACAGUUUUUUUUUUUUUUCGAUUGACCUAGUUAGGCUUGGAAUUGGUGUUUGUGGUAGUUAGGAAAGUUGUAGAGGGAGUUGAGAGGAAGCUGCUGUUAAAAUUUGGUCGGUAUUAGAGGUCGCCGGAGUCGGCCUCCGGCCGCCGCUGUGUAGGGGAUUUUCGUGGUUUUAGAUUGGUUUUAUUAAGGGGAGUUAGUGAUUUGACUUUUAGAAUUUUUGGAGGAGUUUUGUAUAGGUUUGAGAAUUUUUAAAGUUUGGUAAUUUUGAUGGAUUAAUGAGGUAGAAUCCGGUCGUUGGAUUUAAGUCAUAUAAUUUGUAGAAGGUUGAAUUAAGGUUGCCGGUAUGUUCGGUGAAGUUUGGGCCAUAUUGAGUUAAGAAUGGCGAAGUUGGGCAAUGAUAAGUGUGUAGAAGGCUCACGUUUAAUUUUGCCUAUUUUGUAUAAAUAUUAGAUUUUUAGUUGGAAAAUUAAUAUUAUAUUUGGAACAGGACGUGAGGAGGCUCGAGCAGACGAGGCUCCAGAUCGACAUCAGGCUUAGGCCUAUUUAGUGAGUGGACUUUUGUUUUAAAUAUUAUGCAUGCUAUGGUUCAUGAUUGAACAUUUUCUUUUGUUUGAGCCUUUCACGUCAUUUUAUUUUGACGAAUUUAUUUCUCUUGAAGAGUUACCGAAAAUAAGUAUUUAUUUAUGAGGAGAGUAUGUAUAUAAAUGCUAGCUAGCCAUAUGUGUCUGUCCACCUUAAUGGCGUAGUAUAUAACGGUAUUAUGGUGUGACAUGAGCGUUAGACACGAGCGUAGUAGCCCUAUAUGAGUAUCUAAUUCAUAUAGGAGGUAUGGGCACAUAUUUAUACACUCGUCCGUCCACCUUAAUGGCGUAGUGUAGCACCGCAUUAAGGCGUGACGUGAGCGUUAGACGCAAACGUAGUAGCCUUGUAUGAAUUUCUAUUUUCUUAUAUUUUUUUUCAAGAAUUCAUACAAAGAGUAUGGACAUGUGUAAAUACAUACAGAUAUAUAUAUAUAUAUAUAUAUAUAUAUAUAUAGUGGAAUGUAUAUUUUUGGUUUUGAGAGGCUCAAUAUUUAAGAGUUGAUAGUUUUAUCGCUUGAGGCAUGCGUUCAUUUUCUUUGGAAAAUAAAUUGGGAAAGCAUAAAUAUGUUUAUUUAUUUAUUUUUGUCCACUCACUCUAACAUUUUUCGAAUGUUUUCCCCUAGGCCAUUCGUUUUUAAAAAUAUCCAAUCUGUAGAGUUCGGGUUGGCACUAGAUCGAGGCGAGGCAUAGUUACCCACAUCUCUUCCACCUUUCAUCUGUAGGUUACAUGUUAACUUACUCUCAUAUUUUCUUGCUUCCGCUAGUGUUUAGUAGCUCUGAUUACCUUGGGAUAUUGUUUAAUAUUUCGGUUGUGUGUGAAGGCUUGUUUACAUUUAGAAUAUUCAAAAGAUGAUGUAUGUUAUCUUUAUUUGGAUAUUUUUGGAUGAAUUGGAAGUUGGAUGUUUCGUCUAGGAGGGUAAAUUCUUGAUUUAUUCCGGGUUAGGGUUGUUCAUUUUCAAGGGAGGUUUACCGAGUUCUUCAGUAAACUUUCCUUGGAGGUGGACCCUACAAGACUUACUUCGGGUUUCAGGGUGAAAUUCGGGGUGGGUCUUGACAGUUGGUAUCAGAGUCUUAGGUUUCAUUUCCUGCGUCCUUAUAACUAUCAUAUUUGCCUAAGUAGCACGUAGCGUCUAUAGAGUGAUGAUCUGACCGUGGCGGAUUCAUUGGCAGUUUAUGCUUUGGAUGCUAUUUGUUAUUGGGUAUGUAUGAUAGUUGUGUUAGUCUUGUUUAUUGUAACAUCUCGGAAAUUUGGUUUUCUAUUUUUGAAAAGAAAAUUAUUUUUCAGCUAUUUAAAUUUGAAUUUCUGUUAUUCUUUAAAUUCUUUGUGGCUUUCGAAAAUUAUUCAAAUUUUUAGUUUGUCGAUUUUUGUCUUUCGAGCCGAUAAGAUUAACUUAGACGUCAUUACGAGUUGAGAUUUUGCGAAGCAUCGUUUGGACAUUGAAGCUAUUUUUAAUGAAUUUUGGGAGUUGGUAUUAUCCAAAAUUUUAUUAAAAAUAGAAGUAUAGGUGGCAUGAUCUGGACCAUUGGAUUUAUCAAACCGCCAGAUCUUGGGCGUUGAUCGCAUGAUACAUAUAAAGGAUGGAUUAGUUUGAGUUGCGUCAGAACUCAGCCCAGACCGACCUCGGUCUCGAGCUGCUCUGCAGCGGUGGAGCUCGGAGGAGUCGUCCGUCGUCCGGCUGUCUUCCGUCGCAAAACGACUAUCCACAGGUCUGUCUCGACGUCCCCGACCUCCUUGUGAUUCCAGCUUGAAGAGUGGAGCUCCGGUGAGAGAGAAAAUGAGGAGAGAAGGUGAUUGUGUUUCCGAUCGGGUUUCCGAUUCCGGCGGCGGCGGCGGCGUGCGUGAAUGGUAUUGGAAGCUUCCUCUCGUCCUCAUGGUCAUGUCCAUGCCCUUGAUUUUCAGAUAAGAAGUCUGGAGUGAGAGAUUCGAAGUGGAGAAGGAGAGGCUGGGUUCACCGGUGAGUCUCCGAUUCCGGCAGCGUCGAGGUGUCUCACUGGUAUGGAUAGCUUCAUCUCGAUCUCAGGAACCUUUCCAUGUUCCUGGUUUUCGAAGUGAAGCUCGGAGGAGGGAGAAUCGAAGAGGAGAAGUUCUGGGAUUUUCCGUUAAGGGUCGAUGUUUUCCGGCCACCGGCGAAGGCAAGCGAGGUAUGAAACUUGAUCUACUCGUCGAGAUCUACCUGUUUAUAUGCAUGGAAUCGAGUUUUGUUGAGUUUUGGGAGAAGUUGGAAUUUAGGCAGGACUCGACUGCCGUGUGUGGUGGCGGAUUGGUGGUGCUGGCCUAAGCUCGUCCUUGAUUCAUUUUCUGUUCCUAAAUAUGGAUUGAUGAUUAGUAUGUUGUCUGGAAUUGUUAUGGAAUUGUAGAAUUGGAGGUAGAGAGCUGAGUUGCAGGUUGUUCGGGUUUACUGUGUUUGGUGUUGAUAGCAGUUGUGAUGGUAAUUGUUGUGAGUUUUGAAGAUGAAGUGGGAAUACUGAUUAUGAAGGAGUAAUUUGAUAUGCUUGUUAUUGAGAUUGAACGAGUUGAUGGAUUUGGGCUCAGUUCGGUUUAUUGCAAGUGUUGGUGUAUUUGGAGUUUGAUUAGUUGUGUUGAUUUUGGCAGAAGCUUUAGAACAGAUUAGUUGUUUGCUUGAUUUCAAGAAAAUGGAAAAGUAGGCAAUUGGAUAGCUUGCUGGGUUGCUCUGACGUUUGAGAGCAGGGUGAUUGAUAAGAUUCAGCCAUGUGUGUGUGUGUAUAUAUAUAUAUAUAUAUAUAUAUUCAGUUAGAACAAGGUUUCUUUAAUCUAUUUUGGUUUGUGAGAGCAGUGUAGAUGCUUUGGUUUUGAUCAAGGGGUGUAUUAAACUUAAAGAGGAAUGAGCUCACGACAAUUGACUCAAAGAUCAUGGAGAAGGAACUCAUUUGGGUGUCCUUAGUAAUUCCAAGGACUUGAUCGUUUUGGAUUUCAAGACAAGACAAGAGCAUGGCAAAUUAAGAUGAAUAUUCGAAAUUAGUUAAAGACUAGAAGGAUGGAAUGGAAGAAUUGGAUAUUUGUUUUUGGAUAAUUGAUUUGGGUGUCCAGAGUAAUUCUGGAAAGUUUAGAUCGGUGUUUGGAGCAUAGUUGGGAUACACCGACAACGUUGAUUGCAAAUAUAGAUUUUAAAGGUGGGGAUAGUGCGAAAUGAGUACAUAUGGCAUAUGGUUCGGAAUUUAUCAAAAAUGCGAGAGGAAUUGGAAAUAAGGAUUUGAGUGUCCUUAUCAAUUUCAAGGACUUGAUUUCAUUGACUUGGAGUGAUUCGCCGACUUUCUCGAAAAAAAGAUUUAAUACGAGGAUCGUACGCAAGUAGCUGGAUUUCAGAAGCAGAAGGAUGAGGAUUUCAGAAUGCAUGUCGCAGAGUUACUAAUUUUAGUUAACGUCAGAGCUAGCGCUUGGAUUCUAGGUAGGGUCUUUCUCGAGGAACCUUUCUUAAAUUGAUAAUUAGAUUAUAAUUGAAAUCGGUGCAUUGUGUGACAUUGAUUGAUUAACUCUUGGUUGUUAUUGUUUUCGAUAAAAGUAUGUGUAAUCGGUGAUUUAUAUAAUUAAUGUUAUCGUUUUCCAUAAAAGCAUGUGUUGGAUGAUAUAUUAUGAAUAUUGAUAUUUGUUGCAUUCAUAAUGCAUUGUGAGGAAUUGUGAGAUUAAUGAGAUUGGUGAUAGUGAAGAAGAUGAGAAUGAGAUCGCGAAAAGAUACAUUUUGUGUAGUUGAGUUUCCUCAUGGGUUGUCCAUGAAUCCAUGUCAGCCCAUAAGUGCACGAACCGGGGAAUGCAGAACCCUUCAAUGGCGGACAUCGAUAAAGCGAUCUAAUCGGGUUUCGGGUUUAGAGACCAUGAGUAUAACAAGAUGACUAACAAAAGAGGUAUUGGAGUUUAGAUAUUACUGAUUUGUUAGGUCGUAUAUUGGAGACAUCUAUACGGUAUGGGACGUGUAGGCUCAUAUGUCUUUGAUGUAUGGACUAAUAAGCCAGUGGUCGAGUGGAGGAAGUUCAUUUACACAUAUGCAUUGAAUUAUUAUUAUUUAUAUUUAAAGUAUUGUUUGUUACUUGAUAACUUGGUUUUGCGACUUAGAUAAGAAUAACUUAAGAGGUUUGGCCCUACUGAGCUUAAGCUCACCCCUGUAGAAUUUUGUUCAGGUUCCCAGGCGGACACGUCUUUCGAGAAGUCUAUUUGUGACGUUUAGCUGACUUGUACAAGAGUAGAAGAGUUACGGAAUAUUAGAAGUCAGAUAGAUCUCAAGACCUAUUUUGCCUUUGUAAUUGUUUUGUUAUUGCAAACGUUUUAUUUUCGACAAUUUUGAGAAAAGUAUUUGAAAUUGUUUUAUUUUCAUUUAUUUUUCCCGCUCACGCGUCGGGUUCAGCGUCAGGUGCUUAGAAACCACCGACACCGGGUUUGGGGUGUGACAUUUAUAGACUACUAAAUAUCUUUUUUCUCAGGUACUAUGCCUCCUAGACGCCAACGCUAACCCCGUGAGACUGGUUCGACCAACGCUAAUGAGGGCAAUGAGGUCAGAGAGUUAGUGGAUUCUUUAGGAAAUAUGCUGAGGGGAGUUUUGGAUUGGACUUAGAACCCUCGGACUGUGAAGAAGAAGGAGUUCAUGAGGCUGGUGCAAGGGAGUUCAAGGGUGCCAAGGGACCCCUUGAUGCUUAUACUUGGGUAGACAAGAUGGAAAAGGUUUUUGUGAGCAUAGAUUUGUCGGAAGAUAAGAAAGUGAAGAUGGCAGUGACUUUUCUGGAUGAUUCAGUCGGACUUUUUGCACAUUCAGAAGGGGGAUGAUGAGGGUCUCAUAGAGUUCGAGCAGAGAUUCACUUCCUUGAGUUAUCAUGUGUCCUACCUGGUUCCGGAUGAGAGGACAAGGAUUGCAAUGUUCAUUGGGGCACUUAGUGGUGUGUAUGCUGACAAGAUGACAGGGGUAGUGUACCUGACUUUUAUGGAUGCAAUUAGUGCAGCUAUGGCCAUUGAGACCAUGAGGACACAUGGUGCUCGGCCCCGUGAUUUCAGUGGUCCCAGUCAGGGUCCAUCCAAGAAGGCUGCUUCAUCAUCCGCUUCAGGGUCUUUAGCUGGUAGUGGCAGUAGUGGUGGAUCGAGUUCUAGUUCUCGGUUCAGGGUUAGAGGACGUCACAGGAGACCUUCUCGGAGUCAUUUGGGUAGGCAGCCGUCUGGUCAAUUUGGUUCUGGUGGCAGCUUCUAUGGUGGAUCAUCUGGUGGUCAGACUUUUUCUUUUGGUCAGCAGCAGUUUUCUGGAUGCUUUGAGUGUGGUGGUCAGGACCACUUCACUUCAGGAGAGAUUGUCCAUUGUUGGCUCAGAGGACCACCUCCACCCUUACUCAGCCAGUUGGGCAGUCUUUAGCUAGGGGCUCCAGUAGUGGUGCCCAGGGCAGUGCAUUGGCCAGUGGUAGCUCUCGGCAGGGUAGUGGUCAGCGUGGACGUCCCAUGACUUGCGCUAGACUGCAUGCUAUAACCCAGCAGGAGGGUCAUACUUCUCCAGAUGUUAUCAUUGGUACGUUAUUAAUUUUUGGUCAGCCAACUUUUACUUUAAUUGAUCCCGGAGCCACGCAUUCAUUUAUGUCUAGUAGAUUUGCCCUCCAUGCCAAUGUGCCAUCAUCGUCUCUUCCAGGCGAGUGGCAUGUGUCUCUGCCCUCCGGUGAGGUGAUGAGAAUAAAUUGGGUGUUUAGUGGUUGUGAAGUGUUAGUUGAGGGAAUAAAUUUCAAGGCCGAUUUGAUUCCUUUAGAUAUAGUGGAGUUUGAUGUGAUCUUCAGAAUGGCUCUAGCGGAAUUGAAAGAGUUAAAGAUUCAAUUGCAGGAGUUAGUAGACAAGGGUUUUAUUCGGCCUAGCAUGUCUCCAUGGGAUGCUCUGGUAUUGUUUGUUAAGAAGAAAGAUGACACCAUGAGACUAUGCAUUGAUUAUAGGAAGCUAAAUCAAGUAACGGUGAAAAAUAAAUAUUCGUUGCCUCGCAUUGAUGAUUUAUUUGAUUAGUUGAGGGGUGCUUCUAUUUUCUCCAAGAUUGACUUGAGAUCAGGUUAUCAUCAGUUGCGGAUCACGCUAUGGUCAUUAUGAGUUUGUAGUGAUGCCUUUUGGACUUAAUAAUGCACCCGCUGCUUUCAUGGAUCUCAUGAAUAGGGUGUUUAGCCCAUAUCUUGACCGCUUCGUGAUCGUAUUCAUAAAUGACAUUUUGGUAUACUCAAGAAGUGAGAAGGAGCAUGCCAAACAUCUAAGAAUGAUAUUGCAGACUUUGAGAGAUGCUCAGUUGUAAGCUAAAUUCAGCAAGUGUGAAUUUUGGCUAGAUAAAGUGGGGUUCUUGGGUCAUGUGGUUUCGGCAGAAGGUGUUAGUGUGGAUCCCCAAAAAGUGGAAGCAGUGUCAAAUUGGAGAAGACCCACCACGGUGACGGAGAUCCGUAGUUUCUUAGGAUUAGCAGGUUAUUAUCGGCGUUUUGUGUAAGAUUUUUCAAAGAUUGCUGCUCCUCUUACAAGAUUGACCAAGAAGGGAGUUAAGUUCGAAUGGUCAGAUGAGUGUGAGCAAAGUUUUCAAAAAUUGAAGAAUCGUUUGACUAGUGCUCCUGUUUUGGCACUUCCGGAUGAUAGUGGGGAGUAUGUGGUUUAUUGUGAUGCUUCUAGACUCGGUCUAGGUGGGGUAUUGAUGCAGCAUGAGCGAGUUAUUGCCUAUGCUUCUAGGCAAUUGAAGCCGCACGAGGGGAAUUAUCCCACUCAUGAUCUGGAGCUUGCAGCGGUAGUUUUUGCUCUCAAGUUGUGGAGACACUAUCUUUAUGGGGCCAAGUGUCAGAUUUUUACCGAUCACAAGAGUCUUCGGUAUGUGUUCAUUCAAAGAGAGCUAAAUAUGAGGCAGAGAAGGUGGAUGAAGUUGAUCAAUGAUUAUGAUUGCACUAUUGAGUAUCAUCCUGGAAAAGCUAAUGUGGUAGCGGAUGUUCUUAGUCAAAAUCCCUCCAUAUCUUUAUCUCAUAUAAAGAUGGUUCGAGUUCCACUUCUAUGUGAGUUGCGAGCUACAUGGGUAGAUUUAUCGGUGGAUGAAGUUGGUGCUUUGAUAGCUAGUUUCCAUGUGGGCCGGUUUUGGUUGAUAGAGUGCAGGAGACACAAUAUAAUGAUCAUUCCAUAGUUCGGUUAAUAGAAAGAACUUUGGAUGGAACCACAGUUGAUUUUUCAGUUAGAAGAUAUGGAACUUUGUUGUUCAAGAAUAGGCUUUGUGUGCCAAAGAUUAAUGAAGAGUUAAAGAAUGAGAUAAUGGAGGAAGCUCAUAGUUCUACAUAUGCAGCUCAUCCGGGUAGUACAAAGAUUAUCGGACUUUGAAGGAUUAUUAUUGGUGGCCAAACAUGAAGAGAGAAAUUGUAGCUUUUGUGAGUAGGUGUUUGAUCUGUCAGAAAGUGAAGGCUGAAAGGCAGAAACCUUCAGGGUUACUUGCGCCGUUGGCUAUUCCAGUGUGGAAGUAGGACCACAUCACCAUGGAUUUUGUUUUCAGUUUACCUCGUACCCGUGAAGGGUAUGACGGUAUUUGGGUGAUUGUGGAUAGACUCACCAAGUCUGCACAUUUCUUGCCAGUGGGAAAGAAAUAUAAAUUGGAUAAAUUGGCGGAACUUUAUGUGAAUGAAAUUGUGAGGCUUCAUGGUGUACCUGAAUCAAUAAUGUCGAAUCGGGAUCCUAGAUUUGCUUCUAAAUUCUAGGGAGCUCUUCAAACAGCUUUAGGCACCCGAUUACACUUCAGCACUGCUUUCAUCCUCAGACCGAUGGGCAAUCAGAGAGGACUAUUCAGACUUUGGAGGAUAUGUUGAGAGCUUGUGCCUUGCAGUUCAUAGGGAGUUGGGAUAAAAUCUAUCUUUGAUGGAAUUUGCUUAUAAUAAUAGCUAUCAUUCUAGCAUUGGUAUGGCUCCCUUUGAGACACUUUAUGGGAAGCAGUGUCGUACAUCUUUGUGUUGGAAUGAAGUAGGAGAAAGAGAGCUCUGCGGUCCCGAGUUGAUUCAUGAUACGAAUGAGAAUAUUAAAGUGGUCAUAGAUAGACUCAAGGCCGCUCAAAGUAGGCAGAAGAGUUAUGCAGAUGUCCGUAAGAAGGACCUUGAGUUUCAAGUGGGUGAUUGGGUGUUCUUGAAACUAUCUCCUUGGAAAGGGGUGGUACGUUUUGGUAAACGUGGGAAGCUUAGCCCGAGGUAUAUUGGCCCUUAUGAGAUUAUAGAGUGAGUUGACUCACUUGAUUAUCAGUUACUUUUGCCUCCAGAGUUGUCCAGGAUACAUAAUAUGUUUCAUGUAUCCAUGCUUCGCAAGUAUAUUGCCGAUCCUUCUCAUGUGUUACAAGAGCAGCUGAUUAGUUUGACGAAGGAUUUGAUCUAUGAGGAGGAACCGGUUCAGAUUCUUGACCGAAAGGAACAAGUGCUUAGGAACAAGACAAUCCCAUUUGUAAAGGUGCUUUGGAGGAGUCAUCAAGUAGAAGAAGCUACUUGGGAAUCAGAGGAGCAGUUGAGGCAGAAGUAUCCCUAUGUCUUCGAAUGACAGGUAUGUAAAUUUCGAGAACGAAAUUUUUAUAAGGAGGGGAGAAUUGUCACAUCCCGACCCUUAAAUUUUUACCUUAUUUACUAGCUUGGUGUUAAUAAGAAUUUUACCGUCUCCGUCAAUGAAUUUAUAGUUUAUUUGGUCCCUAGAGGGGUUUUGAGGGACGUUAGCUUCGGAGGGAUUAUUCGUAGGAGAAAAUAUGACGACGGUAAAAAUGGUAAUUUUAGCUAGUAAAAGGUAAUUUUUUAUUAGGGUAUUUUAUUUUGUGGUGUUAUUUUUGUGGAUGAACAUAAUUCGAUCGAACUUGAACCGUUCAUGUUUAUAACAGAAAAACGCAGUUUUGAGUGCUUUAAUGAUAACCAAAUUGACUGAAAUUUUGCAGAGAUGAUCUAUACAUCAGUAUCUAAAUACUAGACGGUGGAGAUGUGAAAAUUCGAUUGAAAAGUGAGUGUAAAGUGGAAAUCUGCACCAUAAGAAUAAAUGCUGACGUCCGCAACGGAGAAGCGCUGUAUAUAUAUAUAUAUAUAUAUAUAUAUAUAUAUAUACACACACACAAUUCAUAUCCAGAGUGAAGCUUCACUUUGAAAUUAAAGUGUGAAGUUCUUUAUUUAACUCACUUUUCAGUCAUAUUUCCACAUCUUCACCGUUUAGUUUGUAGAACCUAAUGCAUAGAUCACUCUUGUCAAGUUUCAUCCAAAUUGGUAAUCAUUAAGGUACCGAAUUAGAUUAAAUCAACGAACGGACCAUAAAUCUGUCUAUUCAGAACUGUUUGUGUAAAUAACGAUUAUGAAAACCCAAACGAUCAUCAAAUUCAAUGAAACUUGGCAGAAAUAAUCUAUGCAUUAUGUUCUACAAACUUAACGGUAAAAAUGUGGAAAUAUGACCGAAAAGUGAGUCAAAUAAGGAACUUCAUACUUUAAUUUCAAAGUGAAGCUUCGCUGUGGAUAGAAACUGUAUAUAUAUAUAUAUACAGUCGGGAUCAGCAGAGGACGUCCGCAAACCCGUAAAAGUGCGGACGUCCCUGCUUUUGUAGCGAUCAAGCGCCGACGACCUCCCCUCUCUUGUCGGACGGACACCAGAGCUCGAUCAUGAGCUUCCUCUUGCCGGCGGACUCGUCGAAUAUCAGUUUGCAGCCGAGUUUGAUCGUGAGCUUCCUCUUGUCGGAGGUUGCUGCCCAGACCUUCAACUCCGAUCUCCAAAUCGUCCGGCAAGAGAAUGGAAAUCGUUCGGGAUGGCUCUAGUGUCCGUCCGGCAAGAGAGGGGAGGUCGUCGGCACUUGAUCGUUGCAAAAACAGGGACGUCCGCACUUUUACGGGUUUGCGGACGUCCUCUUCUAAUCUUGUCCGUAUAUAUAUAUAUUUAUAGGAAAGCCACCUUGAUCCAUAAUAUAAUCAUUUAUACGUAUUAUAUAUGAAUCAGGAUCCUGUCCUUAGCUACUCCUCAUACUUGUUUAUCCUUGCCUUUCUUUCUCAGCCGUUAAUGUUAGAUCCUAUGGUUCUUAAUGUUCCACGUCAUCAAAUAACUCAUUCAAUGACUCAGAAUUGGGCUUUUUCAAAGGAAUGUUGUUUAUCUCUGUAUUCCUUCCGUUAAUCCUCAUGCUUCUUCAUCCCUUCACUUCGUUAUCUCUUCCUCUUCUCAGAUCUUUUUGUUCUUAAGUUUUAAUAUUUCACCCUCAGUCAUUGAUUUUCUCUUCAGAUGGGUCUUCGUCCUCCUCACUCAUUGAGAUAAGCCUAUGUAUGUUUCUUGUUAUCCUAGACUCCAAGUUUCGUAUCUAUCCAUAAAACCAAAAAACGAUUAAUUGAAAGAAAAACAAUGGCAGGAUGGCUUAUAGAUUGAUUUCACGAUAAUGGGUUUUAGAUCUACAGCAAAGAAGGGUUAUUGUGAAAACUUUUUGUUUUGUCUUAUAGAUUUACUGGGAAAGACGCCGGGUCUGAUCUUCAAAAUUUGCUGGGGAUCCAUCACAUAAGAGCAAAGUCAGGAAACACACGAAAAUCACUACCCUCUAAGAGGAAGACCAUUUCGACGAAAUAACACCAGCAACCAUUACGAAUCUCACAAAUAAAUAAAAAACUCCAAUACCCAAUCACAAAAACCCUAUUUCACCAUGGACUGUUUGUUUUCUCGUCGUCUCUCAACUUCGUUUCCGCCUCCUAUUCAUGCUCGACACCCUGCUUGUCGGAGACGUCAUGCCGUUUUCGUUUUUGAAAUCCCCGUCAACGGCGGUCCCUGGUCCACAUCGAUCCGUCGCCGGAAUGAACGAGACGACAUCUGAGAAAACCCACCCAACACCGAACCCAAUCCAUCGACCCUUGCUUACGAAGAUGAAGGUUGAAUUCGGUUGUGGGCUCUCCAUGACUCGAAUAUUUUGUGUUUAAGCUUCCAAAGAAUUGCUUUAAUGGCGACGAAGGAUUCGAAUGUGAAUUGCAAUGCUAUAGUGCAGGCUAGGGGUUACUUACGUUGGUCGGAUUAAGUCGACGUAAGAAGAAAAUGAAGAUGGAAGUUAGAGUUGGAGUUGUUGCUGAUAAUAGUGUUCGGAAAACCGCCUUCAUGAACCUCAACUUGGUGCUGAUACUAGUAGUACUCUGCAGCUUUGGAUCAGACGACAUAAUCAAAGUUGAAGCUCUUUCAACUCGUCUUCCUGCUACUGAAGGUACACAUAUAUCCAAUUAGUAAAACAAAAACCCACAGACGUAGGCACCUUAAUGAGUUAAAGGCAGCCUUACCAAUUUUUUUUUUUCUUUCCCUUUUUCAAAAAUAAUUUGAUAGCGAUGACAAGACACUUGUUUGAGUGGUAAUGUUCGAAUGUAAGUCCCUAAUUUGUAGGUUGCUUGCAGAGACGGAACUAGAAUUAAAAUCCUGGAUGGGCUGCAUCUUGGAGUUAGUUUUGAGGAAAGACUCCUACUGAAAUUUAAGGCAAAGUUCUUUGAUUGAUAGCCAUUUUCCUAAAUAACGACCGAGUUGGACAAAAAUUAGAACUGAAAAAUGGGAGGAGAGGCUAAAAUAGGAGGUUGGGAGGUGUUUUCUUUACUUAAUCAUAUAUGAAACACUUAGUUUUUGUUCCACAAAAAUGGGGUAGGCUGCAGCACACACCAGCCACCCCUGGUUCCGUGCCUGGUUGCUUGUGACUCUAGGAGUCUAGGGCUUGAGUCGCCUGAUCACUGCCUAAGGUCUGACAGUUUCAGCUUUCAAGGUGGAAAACCUUGGGCCAUUACUCUCACAUGGUAGUUUCUUAAUUGGCGUUGGACUCGAUUGCUAGUUGCGUUAUUGUGGAUCACAUUUGUUUGAUAUUGUUUUUGGGCCGUCUCUUCCGUCUGAAUACCAAUUUCCAUAAAAGAAAAAUGGCAUGCGUUUAAUUUUAUUUAUAUUUUUAUUUUCAUAUUUUGAAAGGAAAAAGAAAUUAGAUGUUUGGAAGUUACCCUAGAUAGUGGGAUUGAGAAGGUUGGAUUUGUGUUUGCAGUGCAAGCCCUACGAGAAAUUGCUACACAAUUAAGAAAAGAGGACUGGAACUUUAGCGUAGACCCGUGCUUGAAUGACACAACCCACACAAGCUGGACUACCCCAAAAUCUGCUAGCACUCGAUUCAACAACAUACUCACUUGCAACUGCUCCUUCCCUGAUGGCUCAUGCCAUGUUAUCAACAUGUACGUUAAUACGUAGGUGCAAUUUUGAGGCCUAUUGAUGAUAUGUGUGUUUCCCAUUACUUCCUAUAUAAUAUCUUGCUGGGUUUGGAUUGCAUUCUUUGAGUUGGUUUUUUAUGCACAGCAAGUGUAUGAGUAAGUAUUUAGGUAUAUCUGUUUUUUCUUUCUCUUCUUUCCUUUCCAGUUUAGGAGAAUCCCUUUGUUUAUGAGAAUGAUAUUGAUAUGCAAGGCAUCAUACAUUUUCACUCAUAGUUUGAAUUUUAUCAUCAGUUAGCUCUGACAUUUUUCUAAUGCAGUUUUCUUAAAGGGAAAGAUCUUGCUGGUGUACUUCCACCAUCUAUUGCAAAGUUACCUUACCUUACACAAAUGUAAGGAUUUUGCAAUGUAAUACGUUGCUAAUUGACGUUUGAUUUUUCUCGAUUGCUAAUGUUAUUACUAAUAUCUUUUCUGUUCUCUACAACGAUUUCUCAAGGAACUUCAUCAGUGGUAAUAUACCGAGUGAAUGGGCUUCUACAAAGUUGGAAUUAAUAUAAAUGCACUUCUUAAUAACUUCAUAUUCAAGUUUAGCUAAGAGUGGCCUAUAUAUUGAACUAAGACAAUGAGCAAACUGCAGGUCCCUCAGUGUGAACAACUUAUCUGGACCAAUCCCUGCCUUCCUAGGAAACAUUACCACUCUAAGAAUCUUGUAUAUGCUCUUCCAUUAUCUAUGUAAAUUACCUUUUUGUGUUUGUCAGAUCUUGAUUUUCAUUCGGUUUGCCCUGUUUGUAAAAAUAUUCUUUUUGUUGCUCGUUUUACAAAAGACAAUCUUUUCUUUUUCGUGUGUGCUCCUAAUUAUUAUCAAAUUUAUUGCUUACAAACUAGUCGUCUUUUAUUUCAGGGUCCCUGUCAAGAUGGUCUUUACCCGCUUCGUUUGUCUUCUCAGUCCUCCGUUCCCCAAGCAUUAUCUAUCGUCCACUCGUCUCUUUGGCAUAAUCGAUUGGGUCAUCCAUCCUCUUAUGUUCUUACUUGUUUAGGUUUAGUUAUUGGAUCCAAACUCGCUUUCAAUUCUUUUUGCAAUACUUGUGUACUUGCAAAAUCCCAUCAGCUACCUUUUCCAUCUCAUCAUAAUUUUGCUUCUUCACUUUUCGAUAUUAUUCAUAAUGAUGUGUGGCAGACCCCAGUCUUAUCUUUUACUGGCUUCAAAUAUUACGUGCUCUUUACAGAUAAGUACUCUUAGUAUAUACUUGGUUAUAUCCAAUGUGUCGAAAAAAUGAAAUCCUCACCCAUUUUCAAACCUUGGUUGCUAUGAUCCGUAAUAUUUUUCAUAGCUUAGUCAAAUAUCUCCAAAGCGACAACGGAACAUAAUAUGUCAACCGAGCAUUCUCUCACUAUUGUGCGUCCUUGGGUAUCCAACAAUGCUUCUCUUGUCCCCAUACACCACAACAAAAUGGACUUGCCGAAAGAAAACAUCGUCAUAUUGCUACAAUGGCCCGUACCUUGCUUCUUACAUCUGGCGUUCCUCAAAAUCUGUGGAUUGAAGUCGUCACCACCUCUGUCUAUCUAAUCAAUCUCCUUCCGACUCCAACUCUCAAUUGGGAAACACCUCAUACUCGCCUUUAUGGCUCUCCUCCUUCCAAUUCUUCCCUUUGUGUCUUUGGAUGCUCGUGUUUUUCUCAUCUUGGUGAUUAUGUGUCUAACAAAUUGUCUCCUCCUAGUCUUGAAUGUGUUUUUAUUAGUUAUAGUCCUCAUCAUAAAGGUUACAAGUGUCUUCAUCCCUCCACCAAUCGUGUCUACAUUUCGCGUCAUGUAUUAUUUAACGAAAAUCAUUUUCCCUAUAAAGAUUUGCAGGUAAAUUCCAAUGGUGAUUCUCGCUCCUUCAAAUUUAUUCUUUUAUCUAGUCCGAGUCCUGCCGCAUCUCCGCAGGCCUAAUUGCCUAGUCCAUUGCCAUCCUCAUCUGGCAUCACCCAUACUAUUAAUUCACCUCUGCAGGCCCAACUGGCGAGCCCAUUGUCAUUCCCAUCUGACACAGGCCCAACAGGGCCCAAUCUAUCACAUACACCUUCCACAGUAGGGCAAUCAAAUCACAUCGUCCCUCUCUACCAAAUUCACUGGUUCAAUCUUCAUCAACACUCGCCCGCUCUGAUCCCUUGCUCUCCGCCGCCGGCAGCUACCACCCAGCCCACUUCCCCUAUCGACAACGAGCCGACCUCUUCCACAUCUCCGGUUUCUCCCAGACCACGCCUCAUGCAGAUGCACCACCGCCCAAUCCGCCUGUCUGUCCUACAUCACCGCCCGCCACCACCGGCAUUGGCCUUCAGCCCUCAUCUCCACCGGCGCCUCUUCUCCAAUAUAGUUGCCGUCAUUCUCUCCCAGCGGCGACGACGCCUCCCGUCUCUGUUACUCCGGCCAGCGAACCCGCUCUCACCCACUACCGCCACGUCCCACGACGCUGCUCCGCCCCCAAACUCUCCAUCCCAAGUCACCAAUUCUCAAGCAACCACCAACCCUUCAUCUAUUGCAGCUGCUCCUCAAUCACAUCCAAUGGUUACUCGACUCCGUGACGGCAUCGUUCAACCCUGUGUUCGCACUGAUGGCACGGUCCGCUAUCCCAUUCCUCGGGCUCUUCUCACUGUUGUCGAAUCAGCUGAACCCACUUGCUAUUCUCAGGCAUCCCAGAAGCCUGAAUGGCGCGCAGCCAUGACCGAAGAGAUCAAUGCACUGCUGAAGAACAAUACUUGGACUUUGGUGCCCUCUAUUUUACAGUGGGUUGUAAAUGGGUAUUUCGGAUAAAACGGAAGGCAGAUGGCUCAAUAGAACGCUACAAGGCUCGACUGGUCACCAAGGGAUUCCACCAACAGCAAGCUAUCGAUUAUGAUCAAACUUUUAGUCCUGUAAUUAAACCUGCAACAAUUAGAACUGUGAUUACUAUUGUUGUCUCCCUUGGUUGGUCCCUACGUCAAUUAGACGUAAUUAAUGCAUUUCUUCAUGGCAUUCUCAAGGAGGAUGUAUAUAUGCAACAACCCCCUGGUUUCAUCGAUCCUGCUCGCCCAUCUCAUGUCUGCAAGCUUAACAAAGCUCUUUAUGGCUUGAAACAGGCACCUCGUGCCUGGUUCCAUCGGAUGAGGACUGGGGUGGUUGUCUGGAUUCUCGUCGCUCAACAUCUAGCUAUCUUGUGUACCUUGGCUCUAAUCUUAUCUCAUGGUGUUCAAAGAAGCAACCAACAAUUGCUCGUUCUAGUGCGGAGUCCGAAUAUCGCUCUUUAGCCCAUGCAAGUGCUGAAACAACUUGGCUGGGAUACUUAUUGUAUGAACUUGGUGUUCGGAUUCAGUAUCCUGUUUGGCUGCACUGUGACAAUUUGAGUGCCACUUAUAUGGCUUCCAACCCUGUUUUCCACGCACACAGUCACACACCAAACAUAUUGAGCUUGACUACCACUUUGUCCUGGAAAAAGUUGCUUGUGGAAGUCACCGUGUAUGCUUCAUUCCGUCCAAGGAUCAGCCAGCAGAUUUACUCACCAAACCGCUUCAUAAAUCCCGUCAUAUGCUCUUUUUCGGCAAAAUUGUCCGUCCAAGACCGCCAAGUUUGAGGGGGGCUGUUAGAGAACAUGAAUCUGGCCCAUAUAUAAUCUUUUCCAUUACAGAUCUAAUAUUGUUGUGAUUAUGCAUCAGUUUUGAUAUUGCUAAGAUUAUGCAUCAGUUUUGAUAUUGCUAUUCAUAUAGAUUUAUUGUCUUAUGUAAAAGCUGUGUAUAGCUACUCCUAGAUAAUGUAUAGCAUGUAAUUGUAAAGAUUAAUGAGAAUCAAUUUCUACAAUUUUGUUUGCUGCAGUUUUCCGCUUCUAGAAAUGCUUGGUAACUAUUUAAUGAGCUGCUGAUGUUUGUGAAGUGUUAAUAAUUGUUCAUUUCAUGGCUUGCAUAAAUUAAUUAAUAUAUGCCUUUUCAUUUCUGUCUGCAGAGGCUCACAGAAAAUAUGGUGGGAUAUAUGGGAACAAUCCUGGUCAUCAAGGUUGGUCAACAGAUUCACAAGUAGGCUUUUGGCAAAGUUAAUCUUCUGUUGUUGUUGUAUACCAACGCUGUCUUAUAUCUAUUUUUUGUGUAUAGAUUUCUACUGAGACAACAAGUCAGUUUGGGGAACUUGUAGCUGAUCCGGUCACCAUUGAACUGCUGCAUUACACAGAGAAUAAGCCUGAGACUUUUGUAUGUUUGAGUUCGGGUACGGUUUUCACUUGAAUUAGGAAAUUGAAGGAAAACGAACCCAGAAACUUAUCUUAUUCAAUGCUUAACCCUUGCACCACUAUCAUACAUAUUUCUCAGUAGUGGACUGGGUCUUAGAAAAACCCAAUCUUAAUUUGGACAAAGAAGUCACAGAAAGUCAAGGGGGUUUGGUUUCUCCCUCACACACUCAUUAAGCUAAUCAUGAACCCUUUAAACCAAUAUAUACUAUUGAACUCUUUGAUUAUCUAGUUGAUUACUGCAGAAUUAUUGAUUUAAUGUAUAAUAGUUUUGUCUCUUACAUUCGUUCAAAGAUUGGUCCACUGUUCCUGGCUAGACAUCAAAGCAGAAACGGUUUGUGGUUUUUUUUUUUUUUUUUGGUUAAUGAAACGGUUUGUGGUUGAAAGGAUAGAGGUAAACUAUUAAUGUGACCACAUCUUCUGCACAAAUCAAACAUGAUUCUAAUCAAUUCGUGAUCUUCCUAAAUUGAUUGUAGAAUCAUCAGUUUAUAUUUGUAUUCAUUGCUAUGCAUAAUUGUAGCUAUCCCUAGAAUGUCAACAAUAGGAUUUGUAUAUAUGCAGAUUUGUAACCAAUUGAAUAAAUGAAAUUCAGUUUCUACAUAAACGUUGACAUACCAACAGAUCGAUUGACAAACCAAUACAUUGAGACUUUUCAUUCGGUGGUGAUUGUGAAAUAGGAAGACUUUGUGCCAAAGCCAUGUCCAUGAGAAGAACAGUCAAGGUGAGUUAUCACAUGCAUGCAUUCAUUUGGCUUCUUAACCCUUCCCUAACAUUCACUUAGUUUUUUUUUUUUUUUUUUUUUUUUUUUUUUUUUUGGAGUAUCAAUACAGAGAAACAAAACUUGUUUUUAAAAGAGUAACUCACACAGAACUAUCAGCCAUUAGAGUAAUACUCUUUGCUAGUUGGUGCCGAGUACAUAGUGUAUUGUAGAGAUCAUAUGUUAUUAUUUCAUAUCUUUGUAAUUAGGGAUUUAGGCUCAAUGUCCCCUCCCCCCUCUUGUAUUCGACAAUUUCAUUUAUCAAGGCUUGAGGGCAGCCGCACCAAUCCUUCAUUCAAAACAAAAAAAAAACAAAAAAAAA